UAACUCUUUGUUAUAUUUAACUUGCUCUUCUUUGCUUCUUUGCUUCUUGCUCAUAACGAUAACAAGAAAGCCUUACGUUCAGAUAGAUAAUCAUUGACCAGUUCAUCCUAUACCAUUCAAUUUAAUUUAGAAAUGCUGAAAGAAAAACGCAAGCAAUCCAAAGAUGAAGACAACCAUUCAUCCUCGCGAAAGAGAAGAAAAGCUGACCUCAGUAAGCCUGUCAGUUUUGUCUCCACAGGUAAGGCAGAUGCGUGAGUCUAUACAUGUAGGAACUGCUGAUUCGAUUAGAAUAUGUUAUUUGAUUAGUCUGAUCAUAGGAUAGGUUGAGUCUACUAUUAUUUCUGCCUUGCUUUGACUCGAAAUUACUGGUGUUUUCUCCUGCAAAUGAAUAGAAAUCACAUCCUUUCUCUUUCUCCUAUACAAAGAAUACAAUUAACCUCAUUUCAAUAUCAUAGCUUUGGAAUUUCAUAGCUGACUCUUUGUUAUAUUGUUCCAUUGGUAAUUGAUUGUGCCUUAAUUUCUGCAGCUACCAUGACAGAGCCAGAGUCUUCUCGAUCUAGACCAGAAGGGGCCUAUGAUGUCUUCUUGAGUUUUAGAGGAGAAGACACUCGCAAGACAUUUACAGAUCAUCUAUAUACUGCCUUGUCCAAGCAGGAAUCCACACUUUUCGAGAUGAUGAUGAACUUCCAGAGGAGAAGAAAUCUCCGAUCAUCUCCUCAGGGCAAUUCAAGAAUCAAAGAUGUCCAUAGUUGUCUUCUCAAAAGGAUAUGCUUCUUCUAGAUGGUGUCUCAAUGAACUUGUAGAGAUUCUUGAGUGCAAAAAGAGGAAAACCGGUCAGAUUGUUCUUCCUAUAUUCUAUGACAUUGAUCCUUCAGAUGUGAGAAAACAGAAUGGCAAUUUUGCAGAAGCAUUUGUUAAACAUGAAGAGCGUUUUGAAGAGAAGUUGGUGAAGGAGUGGAGAAAAGCUCUUGAGGAGGCUGGAAAUCUAUCUGGAUGGAAUCUCAAUGAUAGGGCAAAUGGGUAUGCCAUUUUUCCAAAUUUAUAGAGUCAAUAUACUUUACAUUUUUCAAUUUGAAACAAUAAAAUACUUAAUUGACUGGCUAUCGAUGGCUUGCUUUUUUCUAUGAUCAGGCAUGAAGCAAAAUUUAUCCAAUGGAUUAUCAAGCAUGUGUUGAACAUAUUGGAUCCCAAGCACUUGAAUGUUCCUGAGCUCCUAGUAGGUAUUGAUGAUCUUGCUCACGAUAUUUUUUACUUUCUAAGUACUGCAACAGAUGAUGUACGCAUUGUGGGCAUACAUGGGAUGCCAGGAAAAGGAAAGACGACUAUAGCAAAAGUUGUAUUUAAUCGACUCUGCUAUGGAUUCGAGGGAAGCUGUUUUCUUUCGAAUAUCAAUGCAAGAUCAAAACAAUUCAAUGGUCUGGCUCUUUUACAAAAGCAACUUCUUGAUGAUAUUUUAAAACAAGAUGUUGCUAACAUCAAUUGUGUCGAUAGAGGAAAGGUUCUGAUCAAAGAGCGACUUUGUCGCAAAAGAGUUCUUGUUGUUGCUGAUGAUGUGGCUCAUCUGGACCAGCUAAAUGCUUUGAUGGGAGAUCGAAGUUGGUUUGGUCCUGGAAGUAGAGUAAUUAUCACAACAAGAGAUUCAAGUUUACUUCGUGAAGCAAAUAAAAGAUAUCAGAUCAAAGAACUGGAACCAGAUGAGGCCCUUCAGCUUUUCAGCUGGCAUGCCUUCAAGGACACCAAGCCAACAGAAGAUUAUAUUGAGCUUUCGAAGAAAGCCGUUGGUUACUGUGGAGGACUUCCUUUAGCUCUUGAGGUUAUAGGAGCUCUUCUGUACAGGAAAAACAGAGGUAGAUGGGAAAGUGAAAUUGACAAAUUGAAAAGAAUUCCAAACCACGAUAUUCAAGGAAAGCUUAGAAUAAGUUAUGACUCACUGGACGGUGAAGAACCAAAAAAUGCAUUCCUUGACAUCGCUUGCUUCUUUAUUGAUAGAAAGAAAGAGUACGUCGCAAAAGUGCUAGGAGCCCGUUGCGGUUACAAUCCAGAAGUUGAUUUGCAAACUCUCCAUGAAAGGUCUCUGAUUAAAGUAUUGGGAGAGACGGUAACCAUGCAUGAUCUAUUACGAGACACGGGGAGGGAGGUCGUUCGUGAAUCGUCUCCAAAAGAACCUGGAAACAGGACCAGAAUUUGGAAUCAAGAGGAUGCAUGGAAUGUACUUGAGAAGCACAAGGUACGCAAGAGCUUAAUGUUGUAUUUUCUAGUCAAACUUAUUACAAAUAAUGGUAUGAAAGUUGUAUUGAUUUUAUUUUUUUAGGGUACGGAAGUUGUAGAGGGUCUUAAACUGGAUGUCAGAGCAUCAGAAGCUAAAUCACUGAGCACAAGAUCAUUUGCAAAAAUGAAAUGCUUAAAUUUACUCCAAAUCAACGGAGCACAUCUCACCGGAUCCUUCAAACUGCUUUCUAAAGAGUUGAUGUGGAUUUGUUGGCAUGAAUGUCCUUUGAAAUAUUUUCCAUCUGAUUUUACCUUGGACAAUCUAGUUGUUCUUGAUAUGCAGUACAGUAACCUCAAAGAACUAUGGAAUGGAAAAAAGGUACGAAACAUGUUACAAUCCCCAAAAUUUUUCUAAUAUGUAGUUUAUAUUUACAUGUUAUGACUUUCUAUGAUUAAUUUUCAUUAUUUUUCUCUCUAUUAUAAUAGAUUCUCGACAAGCUUAAAAUCCUUAAUCUCAGUCAUUCUCAGCAUCUUAUUAAAACACCAAACUUGCACAGUUCAAGUCUAGAGAAACUAAUUCUGAAAGGUUGCUCGAGUUUAAUUAAGGUGCAUCAAUCAAUUGAAAAUUUGACGAGCCUCGUUUUCUUGAAUCUGGAGGGAUGUUGGAGGCUUAAGAAUCUCCCUGAAAGCAUUGGCAAUGUAAAGUCUCUUGAAACUCUGAAUAUUUCUGGAUGUUCACAACUUGAGAAAUUGCCAGAACACAUGGGUGAUAUGGAAUCCUUAACUAAGCUGCUAGCCGAUGGGAUUGAAAAUGAGCAAUUUCUCUCUUCAAUUGGACAAUUAAAGCAUGUCAGAAGGUUAUCAUUGCGUGGAUACAGUUCGACUCCACCAAGUUGUUCUUUGAUUUCAGCAGGUGUUUCGAAUUUGAAACGUUGGCUGCCAACACCUUUCAUUGAAUGGAUAUCAGUGAAACGUCUUGAGCUUUCUAAUAGUGGUUUGUCUGAUCACGCAACUAACUGUGUUGAUUUCAGUGGUUUGUCUGCUCUAGAGUAUUUGAAUCUAGAUGGAAACAAAUUCUCUAGCCUUCCUUCUGGGCUCGGCUUCCUUCCCAAGCUAAGUUUGUUGUAUGUCCGGGCAUGCAAAUAUCUUGUAUCAAUCCCAGAUCUUCCCUCAAGUUUAGACUAUUUGUUUGCAUCUGAUUGCAAAUCAUUGAAAAGAUUAAGAAUACCAAGCGAGCCAAAAAAAGUAUCAGUUAUAAAGCUAGAUGGAAGUCAUUCGUUAGAAGAGUUUCAGGGCAUUGAAGAUCUAAGUAAUUGGUUCUGGUAUAUUUGUGUUGAUGACCGCAGUCAUUCAUCAAGUAAAUUACUGAAGAGCGUUGUUGAGGUACUAUUUCUUUCCGUCUCUUUUUCGCACAAAAAGAAACACACACAAUUGGCACAUACAUUGAAUAAUGUCUAAAUUCUCAGCAAUCCUUAGAAAUCAAUAUGUAUAUGGGCAAUUAUUAUUAUUAUUAUUAUUAUUAUAUUUAAAAAAACAAAUAUCAUCUUUAAUAAUAUUUUUUAUUUUUCUUAUUUAAUCUAAAAAAUUAAAUAUUAUGUUUAAUAAUAUUUUUUUUAUUAAAUAUUUAAAGUCUGAUUGGUUUUAUUUUUUAUUUCUUGAUUUUAUGAUAAUAUAUUUAUACAGACAAUGUGCAACGGUCGUCACGGGUAUUUUAUUCGUAUUCAGUACAUUCCUAGUGAGAUGCCAAAAUGGAUGAGCUACAGGGGAGAAGGAUGCUCAUUGUCAUUCCAUAUACCUCCAGUCUUCCAAGGCUUAGUUCUUUGGUUUGAUAAGGAUGAUAAGGACACUUCCGUUAAAAUUAUUAUAAGAAAUAAUAGCAAUGGUAUUUGCUUGUUUAAAUGUACGCAAUGGGCUUAUCAUCCAAAAAAUGGAUGUAUAAGAUACAUAAGUAGAAGUAAAAUGGCAAUGGAAGAUUACUGUGCAGAUGACGAAUUGGAACUAUCCAUUUAUUCACGGCAACGGGGGUAUUCACUGCGCAACGAUGAUUCAUACCAACCCGCAGACAUUAAAGAAUGUGCGGUCCAUGUGAUCGCAGGGAAGUCAGAUUCAUUUGAAGAGUUGGCAGUGAGAACAGAUACUGUGAUGCCUUCACCACCGCUGUAUCAUCUGCUUCCUCAUCCCCCAUUGUGGUUCGAUUACAGCGUCUACACCUAAGCAAUGGACUGACUUUUUAUUUGCGAAGCUGCAAAACCAUAGCCUCAGUUCAACUUUGGUAAGAACAUAUUUCAUUUAGUUAUUUUUAUUCUAUUAUUUAAUUUAUGAAUUAAAUAUUAUCUUUAAUUAUUUUAUUUUUUUAUUUAAUCUAAAAAAUUAAAUAUCAUCUUUAAUAAAAACAAUUAUUAAAUAUUUAAGGCUUUUUGGUAAGAAUACAUAUUUCCUUUAGUUAUUUCUAUUUUAUUCUAUUUAAUUUAAGAGAUUAAAUAUCAUCUUUAAUUAUUUUAUUUUUCUUAUUUAAUCUAAAAAUUAAAUAUUAUCUUUAACAAUAUUUUUUAUUAAAUAUUUAGAGUUUGCUUGGUUUUAUUUCUUUUCUUGAUUUUAUGAUAAUAUUUUUCUUAUUUAAUAUAAAAAAUAAAUAUUAUCUUUAAUAAUUAGAUCUAUCGAAUAUCACUUAAAAAUAAAUUAUAACUUUAAUAAUUAUUUUUUGAAAAACAAAAAGCCAACAAUCACUAACAUAUUUUAUUAAAAUCACUUUAGUUUAUUUAGAAAAUAUUGAAAACUGAUUUUUGUUUUUUACAUUAAAAUAAAAAAUUGAAUAAUGUUUUUAUAUUUUAUUUCAAACUCGAUAUUUUAAAACAAAAAUGAAAAAGAUGUGAUAUUGACCUUUUUAAUUUAACUUUCUUUUCAAAUUUGAUGGUUUUUUAGGAGAGGGGUAUCUUUGACGUUGAUUGACGUGAGAGUACAAGAUCAUUUUACAUAGAGAUGCUUGAAAUUGCUCCAAAUCAGUACGAUACUUUCAUCUGACAUGUUGAUAUGUAUUUAUUGGCUUGAAGAUUAUUUUCCAAGCUUGGAAGUUUUAUUGAAUUCUCUUUGAAAUCUUUUCCAUCCGCUGGACAACCUAGCUGUUAAUUAUUAUGCAUGAUGUAAUUUAUAUUUUCAAGUUACAAAUUUUGAUGAAUAUUGUUUCAUUUUUUUCCUCACUUCAAAAGAUGAAAAUCCUUGAUGUUAGUUAGAAAUAAAUUGGUUUUCUAGUAAGAGAUUAUUUAUUGGAAUAUAGUAUUUGAGUUGGUUAUAUAUAAUUUAAAAUAAUUAAUGAAAAUUACCGAUAUAUAGGAAAGUUUUGAGAGCAUCCUUAAUUAGUCUAGUAAGUAAAGUGUUGUUAGUUUUGACUAUAAGAUCUUGCUAUGUAUUAUUGCAUGGUUUUUACUAUUUUUAGGCAUUUUUCUUUUGGUAUAUACAACUUUUGUUUUUCUUGCCGUUUGUUAUUAGCUUUAUGGCACCAACACCAAUUAAUAAUAAAUCUUGAACUAUUAUUAAAUAAAGAAAAAAUAUAAACAUUGUUAAAACACCAAACUUGAAUUGCUCAAACCUAAAGAAACCCUAUGACAAUAAUCUAAUUUAGAAAAUAAUUAAUUUAUCCUUGUAGUCUAAGAAAAUAGUAUUUAAUUCUUAUGUUUUCAUAUACAUCUAUGAUUUAAUAUGUUGAUUGAAAUUGGCAAGUGAGUUUACUCGCAUAUUGUUAUAUUGGUUUUGAGUUCAAAUAAAUGUUUAAAAAGGAAGUUUUUUCAUGAAUGUAACCCUUCAUGUAUUCAAUAUGAAUGAUGGGAGAUUUUGAUGUCUUGUGAAUGCAUUUAUUUAUAUAUCGAUGAUUUUGUUAAGAAUUGGUUGGUAAAAAACUUAAUUUCGAUAUAUAAAAACCGAAGAGAGAACAAUAAAUAGAGAGACUAGUAAAGAUUUUAUGUGCUUUUUUUUUUUUUAAUUGGAUUACCUUUGUCUUUUGUUUCAAGUAAAAUUCUAGUAUAUAUCACUAAAUUAAGAAUUAAAGGUCUAAUUAUAUGAACACAAUUUUAAAGACUACAUCAACUACAUUUCAUAUGCUCAACUCUAAGCAAAUUGAAAUUUCAAGGCCAUUUGUAUCUUGAAAACACAAUCUCAAUAAUUUUAAUAUUGAAUUAUUAUUUGUUAGGUAACUAAGAUUUGUUGACUUGAAAAAUAGCACUAAGGAACACAAAUUCGUACUGUUUAUCUUCUUGGCAUUGUUCAAAGGAAUGCAAAAAGACACUCCAAUUGUGAAAAUGUAUUAUUGUCAUAAAGUAAAACUUCCAAAGAGUGAAAUAAAGAGCAAGAGCAAAAAAAUAAUUUGUGUGUGUAUAAGCUAAUUGAAAUGAAGAUUAGAAUAAAAAGGAUAAAAAAGUGAGAGACUCGUUAAGAUUUUAUGUUAAUGCUCAACAUGUUCUUUCUUAUUUAUUUUUAAUUGGAUUACCUUUAUCUUAACGAGUGAAAUAAAGAAACACUCCCCCAUCUUUUUUAUUCCCUUUCCCUUCUUUACAUGGCUUACUCAAUGAAAAAGCAAUUAAACACCCCAUUUGAUUUUCAAUCAAUAUGAGAGUGAGAAAGAGAGAGGCCAAGGUGGUCUUUGAAUAUUUUCUUCUUUUUUGUCUCGCUCACUGGGGCAAACCAUUUUUUUCAAAAUUUUGAAUAGCAUGCCAUCAAAAAGAAUUUUGUUCAAUCCCAAUCCCACAUACACUUUGUUAUUUUCCAAUCCCUCCCUAGUUCUGCAACCAUUUCUCUACUUUCUAUGCUCUUGGCUUGCUAAAAACUAAAGAAAACACAUUGCUCUAGUUGCCUGCCUUCACUCUUCAGAUUGCUCAACAAAACCCUUGAGACCUUCUCCAUAGUUAACAUACCACAUAAUGGCUACUCUAAAAAAUUUAGCCAUAAACAAUGAACACCUUAGGCAAUCAACGUCCCUUCCUUCAUAAUAUGCAUCGCCCAUAAAUCUUUCUUUUGGGAUGUCGUCGGGAGUUUAAUCUCCGAGUGUAAAAAUUAUGUAUAAAUUUCCAUUCUUUCCUUCCAUCCAUUACUUGUCCUCUAUGAAGAUUUUAUGUAUGAAACCUCGGAAUCUUUUCAAGUAUAACUUGGGAUCAACAGCUGAGAUAGACGUGGGAUCCACUUGUAUGCAUGCUCUAGCUUUUUGCUGAUAUCAUAAUCCUGGAGGAUGUCAAUGAUACCAAAGUGAAGAACUACAUUGAAGAUCUCUUUACCAUUGUGUGAAGGUGUUGAAUUGUUACUUCCACCCCCCAUCCACUGAUCCAUUUCAGUAGUCCUCAUUACAUGCUCGGCUCUUGCAGGCACAUUUGCCCCCAGUCAGAUGAAUGGCCCCCUGGAACAGAUUUCAUAUGAGUACUACAAGCAUGCAACGCCAGUUAAAAUCUUGACAUUGCAUCACACAAUCACCAAAAUUCAAAGUAACAAAACGAAGAACAAAAUGUGAUAACAAUGACAAUGACACUUUUCAUCAUUAAUUUUCCUUUUCACAUUGAUUUUCAAUGUUCCGGGCAGAUAAAAUAGCAUUGAUUUACAACCAUGGUUUUAAGGCAUCAUUAUUGGCAAAAACAUUGUAGGACAAAGCAGACUUAAAGAUCAAUGCUUCAGUUGUCAAUCACAUUAAUAAUUUAUAUUUGAUCGUCUAAAAGGGCCUAGAAUAGGACCAGGUAAAAGUUUGUUUUUAUCUAAGAAAGCAAGAAGGUCUCCACAAACUACCCCCAAUUUCGCCACUACAGCCUAAGUCACUUUGAGUCAUUCCAACAAAUAGGAAUUGAAUUCAAAGGAAUAAAUCAUUAAUUAAAUGCAGGGCUCCAAUGUGGGAAAGGGAAAAUGAUUCACUAUUAAAAAGAAAAGCUCAAACACAAAUUAUAGCUUCACUUUUUGUGAAUUAUAUCUCAAAUUUCAUUGGCUGGAUGAUUUAUUGAUAUUUUAAGAAAGCAGUCUUCAUUGCUUUUCAAAACCAUACUAUGGGUCCAUAGACAACUAAAGUUAAACAUGUGGCACAUACCUAGUAGAAAAGAAGAUGCCACAACAUUGCACUUCAUUGCUUUUCAAAACCAAACUAAAGUGCAAUGUUGUGGAAUCUACCUAAUGAGUUCAUUAAACCAUGACCGUUCCAGGCAAAAUACAAAGUUUAGAUCGAGGUCCUUAAGUGUGGUUGUUUCAUCAAUUUCACCAUCAAGCUUGUAAGUCGUGCGUCCAUGAAAAGAGCCUUUCAAGUCAAAGCGUUUAUGGAUACGGUACUCGGAACAAAACAGGUUUCUCAUUACAACAAAAUGAGUCUAGAAUUACAUUGCAUUGUGAACAGUAAUUAGAAUAUGAUUAUACAUUAUGUAGAAAGAACAUCUCAAUGAAAACUGUACCGUCGUGAUUAUACCUUUCGACCUCCCACUGGUUUAACACAAUGUACACCAAAGAAAUUUGUUACCAAGGAGUUCUUGUACUGGCAAACAUGUUGGUAGUAACUUGGAAGCAUCUUAAUAAGAACCUGAAUAUGGUUCACAAUAGGUUGUGAAAUCUAUCCACAUGAUAAAAAUUAAAAAUAAGUGUCUAAGACUUAAAUUGGUAUAUAGAACCAAAUUACUUGCCCUACGUAUUGCUACUUGAGUAAUAAUCACUUUCAUACAUUUGCUGCUUUGUAACAUGUUGAAUUGCGAAUUUAGGGUAGCUAAAUUACUAACCUUGACUUCAGAUUUUUUCACAGUUUUGAUUAUGAAACGAUCAUCUUGAGUUAGAUAAAAGAAGCUUCCACUCUUCCCAGGGGAAGAAAAUUCUCUAAGUGCAUCACUUCCACAAAUCGUUGCAUGUAAUUCACUGGAUCUAUUGAAAACAAUUCCCUCAGAUAUCUAAACACCAAACAAACCAACCACCACCAUAACAUAGGAAAUCAGAGACAAAUUCAAUAUCUCCUUUCUUGGACAUUCAAUAGAAGAUUAAAAAUGAAGUAAUAAAGCAUUAUAUGUUCCAAAAAUCCGUAAAAAAAUAAUAAAAAUUCCUAAAAAUAAUACCUGAAUACCAUGGGACAAUAAUCCUUCCAUCUGAAAUCCAUAGAUUGAUGUGGAAGCCUAGACUUUGAUACUUCCGGUGGAAACCUUGUCCAGAACUUUUCUUUAGGAUAAAACAUAGAAGCCUCCACAUUAUCAACAAUAUCACAAGUAAUAUCACUAGCCUCCCCAUCCAACUCCUAAAUACAAAUCCGAGGAAAAUUCCCAUCCACUGAUGACCUCUUCCUCCCUCCCCCAGCCCCAACUACUGGAUCCAAUGCCACCCCUUUAAAAUCCUCUCCACCACCACCAAGAACUCUCCCAUUCACAUUCCCACUACCAAAUGUAAAAAUUCCUUUCCCUUUAGGCACCCCAUUUUCCAAGUACCCUUCAUACCUCUUCCCAUUAACCCAAACCAAUACCCGUUUCCCAGAUAUCACCCCAUGUUUCCACUCACCAACAUACUCAUUCCCAUUACACCACCUAUACUUCCCUUCCCCAUCCUGCAAAUUAAACUUCCAAAAACCUUGAUAAACAUCCCCAUUGGCGUACCUUGUCUCACCAAAGCCAUGCUUUUUAUCACUAAUCCAAUUUCCAAUAUAAACUUCACCAUCUACACCAAUAAAAGUACCAUAACCAUCCAUUCUCCCUAACUUAAACUGACCUUCAUAAGUAGCUCCUGAUGGCCAAGAAAACUUCCCACCUCCAUUAGCCUUCCCUCUCCUCCACUCUCCUUCAUACAUACACCCAUCACACCACAAAUACUUCCCCUUCCCAUGUGGCACACCAUCCACCACUCCCCCAGCAUAAAUAUCCCCAUUGGGCAACACCUUCUCCACCAAGGAACAACCAGUGUCAAUACGAGAAGUGAUGGUGGUGGUCAUCGCGUCACGCGUGGGAGUCACGCGCCGGUAGUUGGGCUGGGAUCGGGUUCUUGUGGUCACUAUAUGGAACAAUGAGGGGACUAGCAAAGACACAUCUUUGCUGUUUUUGGCUUUGAUUUUGGUGUUUUCUGAUAGUGUGGCCAGAAGGGUCUCUUGAAUUUUGCUUUUUAUGCCGGUAAAUGCACCGGCGGAAACAUUUUCGGUGAUUGUGCUAUAUUCUUAAACGGUUUUCUUGCUCUUUUGUGAGUCAAAAAAUAAAAACAAAAAAUGUAGCUUUCUUGUUGCUUUGAAGAAUGGGCGAGAGAAAUGGCAGAAAAAACAGUGGAAGGGAAGAGAAAAAGCAGAAGACCAAAGACAGAGAGAGAGGGAAUGGGCCGUCUUUUGUUGUUGUUUUUGGUGUCUGUCUAGUCUAGGGAAGCUUGUCGGCAGGCUUUGUUCCAGAGAGGGAUCAUUUUUUGUGUUUUAAGAAAUAUAGGGAGUAAAAUGGGAUUAGGCUUUGGGUAUUUUUAGUAAAACCUACACUGUUAAGGUCGGGUAAUAAAACAAUAUUAUUUUACUAAAAAAAAAUCAAUAAAUUGAGAAUUGGUUAAAUAACCAGCCAUUUCCGAUUUUAUAACGGUGAUUUCAGGUGAGUGAGGUAUUGUUGAGGAAUUUAGGGUUUAGUUGGGGGUAUUUUAGGGAUAUUUGGGAGAAAGGGAAGAUAUAAUUAAGGUAGGAAGAACAUUUCUUGAUUUAUGUAAAUUGAUUAAUUUAAAGAAGGUUUGAUUGAUAAUGCAACCCACAAACAUUUAAACAUUUGUAGAGUGUAAUUGACUAAAAAAAAUGAAUAAAAGACAUUAUGAACAAAUCAUUCUUUAUUAUUUAAUUGAUUUGUCAAAGUUUCUAAUUUUGUUUUAAAACUUGUUUCAAUUGGCUUUUUUUUUUUUUGCUUUUUUUUAUAUUUUAGAUAUUUUUAUAAAAAAAAUAAAGUAAUUAUUAUUGUAUAUAUUUAAAUUAAACUAGAUAUGAUAAUUAACAAUCAAAUUAAAGUUUAUAUGAUUUUAGUGAUUGUAUAUUUUUUUUUAAAAAAUAGAUUAAAAAAUGAAAAAAAAACAUAUAAAAAUAAAAAUACAAAUCGUAUCAAUUUAAUAUGGGAUAUUAAUAGGUAUAUGUGAGUAGUUUAGUUUAAUAGAUGGAGUACACAAUGGUAGGUGUUCCAGGUUUUUUUUUUUUUUUUUUGUAUAUUCUCUCUUUUUUUCACUUUUUGUGAUACUAAAUCAAAUAUAUUAUUACUAGAUAUAAAAUAAUUUAUUCAUUGCUUAAUUAAAAUAUUAUAAAAAAAAUUAUCUUUUACCAAUUUAAGAUUUUUAUUAUUUAAAAUUUGAGAUGAUAAUGUAGAAUAAUUUUGCUUGGACCGACAACAUCUCCAGCAUAUACACAAUACUAUUUUAAUUUUUUUAGUAAGGCAGUGCAUCUUAGUUGUACAAGACAAUGCAUGGUUUAUCCAAGCAAAAUAAUUUGCUUAGACUUUUCUUAAAUUCUUCAAACCCUAAACAUGAUUUUCAUCUCAAAUUAUUCUUUAAUGAAGUUGAUUAGAAUUUGAUCAAUUUCACCAAGGAAGAGAAAAAAAAAACUAUUAUUAUGCUCCCAAUCUCUCCCUCAACUGUAAUUAUAAAACUUGAUUUGAUAAUCAAUUUAAAAUAAAAUUCAAUAUUAAAAAAAUUAAUCUAAAUUAAUCAGAAUUGAUUUUAUUUUUUAAAAAAUACAAAAAAUAGUCAAUAAAUUAAGAAUUAAGUUUUAUUCUUUAUAACUUGGGUUUUUGACCAAAUUAAGGUAUGUUAUUUUUUUUAUAUUUUUAAUUUAUCCUCUAAAGGUUUGAACAUUGCUCUGUUUUUUUUUUUUUUCCAUUUUAUUUCUCAAAGCUAUAGUGGUAUAUAAAUUUCUUUAGCUGGUGUUAAAUCUUCUAUCCAGACUUUAAACAAUGACAUGUGGGAAGAAAACAAGUGAAGUGUCAGUCACUAAUUACCAUAUAUACAGAAACUGUCACAAUUAAUAAGGUAUACAGAACCAUUAUAAAAGCUAAUUUUUAAUGGCAGUUUCCUCGGUGGAUGUCCAUACAAGAAAGGGCAUCAAUUAGAAUAGGUGUCUUAGUUAUAGGUAUAUGCCCUAACUAUUCUUCAAGUAUAAAUUUACACCAUUGUCAUUGUAAAUAUUUUAUUUAAAAAUGUUUAUGGAUGGCAAUAGAUAAUAACUUGGCACAAGAACUAUAUCACAACUUAAAAAUAAGUUUAUCCAAGUCAAUUUUAAAUAUUAUGAAUAACAAAGUUAUUAAAUCUAUUUCAAUUCAUGAUUUAGCCCAAAACCCAAUACAAUUUUAAUUUUAGGAAAAAAAAAAAAGUUUAAGAGAAGAAAUUUAUUGAUUAAAUAAGGAUAGUAAUUUCACCAAAUCCAAUUGAUACCAACUAGAAUGGAUAUUGAUUUUUUAGACCUGAUAAGAUUUAAGUCAAAAUAUAAAAAGUCAAGUGUUGGGUUGGGUAGGAUAUUGAUUUACUCAACGGAACCGAAACAAAUAAAUAACCUUAAAUUUUAAAAAAAUUACAUGUAUACCAAGCCAAUUAUAAAUUAAAUAAUUGUAAAUUAUAGCAUUCGAGCUUUAAGUCUAGAUUAUAAAUACUUGAUAGGUACUCGAAAUCUAAUCAAGUUAGUUUUUGGUAUAAAAAAUUUAUACAAAGUCAAACUUGACCAAUGAGUAUCCAUAGCCAUCCCUGUAAACAAAUGCAUGUGUUUCCAUGAGAAUGAGUUGUCGAAGAAGUUCAAAGGGCAAGGAGGGAGAGUGCUUUAAAAAAAAUAGAGUAGAGAAUAAAACAGGGGAGCAAUGCUUGAGAACAUGCAUUGCUGAACUUCUUGCUUGAUUUCGCCAUGUUAUGGAAGCAUAAAACCUUCACAAUACUGCUUCACACCUCCUUUUCUAUGCUAUCAUGCCAUGAACAUAUGAUGACAAGAGGCCUUGCAAGGACACAUCAAGGUGAUGUUUAAUAUAUAUAUAUAUAUAUUUACUUUUAGAAUGUUUUAAUGUUAAAAAUAAAUUUUAAAAAAUAAAAAAUUUCAUUUCAAUUUAUUUCUAAAUAAAAAAUAUUUUAAAAAAUAACAUUUACAAAAAAUUAUCUUAGUGCAUUAGAAGAAGCAAAAUCCAACUCUAAUAUGAUCUAUAAAGUGACCAACCAAACUUAGCACCUGGAAACUAAGCGCGCAUUUGACUAAAAAAAGAACUUUUAUUUCUUUAAGUUCUUAAGAGUUCUUUUUUUUCUUUCUAAUCAUUUUAUAAAACAUUUUAUAAAAUUCCUAAAACCAAGUUUUUGAGAUUUGAAAUUAACAUGAAAUCAUUUUAACAACAUAUAUUAUCAAAUACCUUUACGAUCAUAGCUACAACCACAACUAAAAGCCUAGGCCCUAAGCCUUUUUUUCUUCUUCAGGUUCGCAUUCAAACGAAUAAAUUCAUCGAAAAUUUCCGUCUGUCUCAACAUUCAAAUCCAAAAUGAUAACAUAAAAAUUAAACUCUCAUCCUAGAUGAGCUAAAUAUUUCGAUCCAGACUCAGACAAGAACUAGAUGUAUUUCUAGGGUACGCAGAACCAUCAUUACUUGUUGUUGUAUACUGUAAAUGUCAGUUGAUUCUUGCAGUACUUCUGGAAACAAUUUUUUUUUUCUUUUUUCCUUUGAAACAAAUUUAUUUUUCUCUUUGAAUAUAUUCAGGAAAGAGGAAAUAAAGAAUGGUGUAAAUCAAAAGAAAAGAAAGGUGCAGAUUAUGCUGCUAGUCAAAAUUUUGAUCAGUGGAUACUUGGCCAAAGAUAUCAGGACAUGAUUCCCAGUUGCCCCUUUCCUUGGCUUCCCAGUAACCACCAAUAUAGCUAUAAGUUUCACCGCCUUUCUCCUUCACAAACCACCGAGGCUUCCAACCUCUCUCUUCCAUCUUCCGUGCCUGUGAUUGUUGAAAAGAAUUCUUAUUAUCCUCUAAUUUACUACAUUUCAUAAACAGUAGUCAGUAGAAGUGUCGUGCAAGUGUGUGUACAAAUGCAUUGGUGUAAAUACAGCAAGAUCAUUCCUUGAUGCAUGCACGUACCUGUCGUUGCCUCUGCUCUAGUCGUAACUUCUCUUCAUUGGCCUUUGUAUACUCUCCAUUUUCCAAGCAUCUCUGAUCAGGUCUCAGCCUGGAGUCUGUUGAUGGCAGUUUCUCCUGCGUAUAAAUUUAAUGUCAGCAGCUACGAAUGGAUACCUUGUUCUCUACUGCAGAGGAGCAGUGAGACAUGGCAUUUCUUGUAAAGAAAGAUAUUUAUCAUAUUCAAAUCUUUCACCAACCUUAAGCUCCUGAUGCGGAACAAUAAAGAAUAAGAAUUAAAACAGGAAAAGAAAUAAGCUUUAGGGGAAAGAAAGAAGCUAGAGAAGAGGAAGAAAGGGGAUUGGAGAUAUGCAAAUUCUGCAAUUUUCAUUAAUCAUCAAAAGUACCUCUCAAAAUGACAAAAGAACAUAUAAAUAGUAAACCCUAAAAGUAAACCCUAAACAUCCUGCUAUUUGGGCUCGGCCCAUCAAAUCGAACUGUUUAAUAUAAAUAACAAUGAGUAGGCCCAGAUGGGCUAAAUAAAUAAAUAACAAUAAGCAGGCCCAAAUGGGCUAAAUAAAAUAACAAUGAAAUAGGCCCACAUGGGCUUAGUCUCCCAACCAAAGUGUGACAGGCUGGGCCAUCCUACGCCGUCUCCGUCCAUAUACUUGUGUAAUCUGUGGUGUGGGCCUGGUGUCUCCACCAGCUCCGGUGUGAGCUCAUUCAGAGUUAUAGCAAAGCGUGUUAGAUUGUAUCUGGUCAGAUGCUUUGAUGGUUUACUCCGCUUCCAGAGCAAAUGGGGCUCUGAUCCGUUUGCAUUCCUUGAACCACCAUUAAUUUUAUAGUGCAUGCUAUCAUCCCAUUUUCCAAAUAAACUUGCCACUGUUUUACCAUUCUUAUCUUGAACACCACCUAGUACCUAGAGAACAAAUAGUAUUGCUGCAAUUAAUGGUAAUGCCUAAUCAUGAUUCAUUCACAAAAUGAGAUAAUGCAAUGAGAACCUGAUAUGAGGGAAAACAUCAACAGACAAAUAUUGAUAGUCUUAUGGGUGACAAGCUAAUGGUCAAAUGAUUUUUCACCAAGCAAGCUUGAUAUCAUUACAAAAAAUGUGUUGGAAAUUGUUGCAUGAAAGGGCAGAACCUCUAAAGUAAUGUGCACGGGUAUACAAAUUUGACUAUACAACCGACAGAAAAGAAUAAGCCAGGAAUCAAACUAUCAUUAGAACAAAAAACCUGAGCUUAGGCUUAGCCUGUAGGAUACAAGUUUAACAAACUUAAAAAGCAAAAGAGACCUUGGAGACAAAACAUAAGCGAAAUAUUAUACAGCAUGAUGUGGACCUGGAAAAAGAAAUUUUUAGAAAAAGAGAUAUUUUCUAAUAAAUCUUCGAGGAUAGAAACUCCCAAUAUAUUCCAGGAACACUAGCGUCACUAUUCUUUCAAGCAGUCAAGUGCUUCAGUAGUACAAUGACUACACAUUAGUUGCUUUAUUAAAAUGAAAUUCAAGAUGGAUCAUUUACUUUGAUGAAAAAUAUGGAAAUGGGGAUAUUGGAACCUGGUGGGGAUUCCUGUCAAUGAGUGACUGCUCUUUGAAUUUUAGCUUGCAGGAGUAUUUCUGAUUCCCCUGUAUCUUCAUUGUACCAUAAUGAUCACAGUAUAGUUUCCCUAAAAUGAGGUUGUAAAUGGAUGUUGUCACCUGAUAAGAGAAAGACAGCUUAGCAGGAAUCUUAUAGAGAAUGGUAAGAGCUGUAAAAUGCCAAAAACAAACCUUACUCCACUGGAAAAUUUCUCCAUCAUCAAACUCUAGUGUUAAGGUGCCAACAGGAUCAAGUUGAAUUGAACGACCCCAAAAUUUACUUUUUAAAUCACUUUCACCCCAAAAUUUCCAGCCUCGACCCUCACAAUGGCAGGCAACAACCAUUGGGUGAUGACUAACCUGUUUCAAGAUGAGCCACAUUGAUAUGUUAAAAAUCAGUAGUGGCAUUUGCUACUUACUGACAAUGUGUAAAUGUGUGCAAAUACGCUUUCAAUUACAUAAUAUUUUUCUUUUCAGAAGCAACCAUAAAAAGGCAUGUCAUAUUAGACGUGUAUAAAUAAAGAACGAUUGCUUAUGGUGCUUCUAGCAGUGAUAGAGACACCUUCUCAGAGAUAAAGCGAAUGCCUUUAUCAGGAUAAUCGGCCUCAUAUGUUUCCCCUAGUAGUGGAUUGAAUGGCUUGCAAUGUCUUCCAUCAGUAGAGGCAUAUCCUGAUACUGCAAACGCUGCCACAUUGAGUGCUCUCAUAAGGCUAUUACCCUACAAAAAAUAAGCCAAGAUCGUGAGCACAUUUAUUAAGAGAACAGUGUAGGGUGAGAGGGUGAUUUGUCCAAAAUUCUUCCAAGAAAACUAAAAUACUGCACACUUGGCACUGAGAGCACUAGGAUUUAGGACACACUUCCACAUACAAGCACAGAGACCAUGCAGCAGCAACAGUCUGAUUAAUAGUAGUUCACAACAGAGCAUUUAAAGUAUAACUUCCAUGUCCAUAGCUUCUUAAGAAAUCUUGUGAUGGCUGUAAUAAAACAAUAAUAGGCGCAAGCAACAAGUCUCUUUGGUAGACACACUAGUUUCAAGUAGGAAAAAUCAUAACUUUGCUUUUGCAAGACAAGUAAAACUAGCAUGGUUUCAAAAAUAGUAAACGCUAGUGGCAGGCAUACCCCAAAAAGUUUGUAACCAGCAACGGUACAUUGACUAAAUGACAAGUAUGUGGUUUUUUUUUAAAUCAACUGUCAGAAAAGGAUAAGAAACAACAAGAAAGGAUGAACCUACCAUUUUACCAAAUUCAUAGGCUCGAUCUAUGUUGUAACCUAUUUUUGGGUCCCCAUAAAAAAUAAAAUAAAUAGCCAAAAAAGGUUAGAAAAAUAACAGGAGGCAUGAAGCGCCCAGAAAAUGGUUAGAAAAAUUAGUCAAGGAGGUUAAAAAUACAGAGAUGAAUUUUUGACAAUAUAUUCUUGAAUGAUGAGAGCCCUGGUAAGAAAAUUUGAUUUUUUGAGGAGAAAAGUCCAAAUUUGGAGAUUUAUGGACUUAAUUGGAUUUUUAAUUGAAUUUAUAAAGGGUUUGAUUGCAAGAAAAAUUGAUUUUUAAGUCAAUUUGGGCUUUAAUUGGAAGAAAUUUAAGUUUUGGGGCCAAAAUAUAUUUUUUAGGAAUUUAUUAGGUCAAAUCAGGGGCUUAAUUGCAUAAAUAUUGAAGUUUAAUGGCCAAUUAGGGGCUUAAAUGUGAAAAUCCGAAACCAGGGACCAAUUUGGAAAAGGCGCGAAGAUAGAGGGGGCUGUAUUGAAUUGAUUCAGGGGCCUAAUUGAAGAAAUUGGAAGUUUAUUGAUCAAUUGAGGGUCAAAUUGCAUAAAUCAGAGGACAAGGAUCAAAGUGGAAAAGGCGGCCAAAUAUGAGGGCGGCAAUUGAAUUUUCGAAGGAUGCAAUUGAAAUGAACAAAAGAAAAUUGAGGGUUGAUUUGAAAAUGGAAACGUUCUGGCGCCACAUUUAAAUGAAACGACGCGUUUUGUCCAAAACGACGCCGUUUCAUGUAAAAAAAAAAAGAAAAAAAAAAAAGAAAAGGAGAAGAGAACUAACCGAAGGGAGGAGAGAACUGACCGAAGGGGGGAAGGGAGAAGAAAAAACCCGAGACUAAGAGAGAGAGAGACUGAAGGAGAGAGAAACAGUUGAACUAAAGUAAUAAACACAUAAAACUCAAGGAAACGAAACUGGGAGAAGGGGGAAGAGGACAGGAGCCGGGGAAGAGCUUAGAGAAAACGAAGACCGAGCAGCACCGCCAGGUUACCGAACCGUUGGGAACCGCCGCUUUGAGCCACCAACCUCCGCUGCAGCACCAUCAACACGGACGUUCGACCAACAGCAUCGCCUCCGCCGUGCCAGGUAUUCUUCUCCCCCUGCAUUUUUCAUUUUGCCCUUACUUUAGUUCUUUCCUCAUGCAUGCAGAAUCGUUCUGCAUGCAGGAGUUAGGGGAAGGGAAAAUAAUUCCCUUCCCCGUUGGGUUCUUAUACUGGGCCGGGUUUCCGGCCCAGUUUUGUUAUUAGUUUUUUUGGGCCAGACCGAGUCUGGCCCAAAGAGAAGUUUUUGUUGGGCCGAGAUCGGCCCAGCCACCUUGCGGGCCGAGAUCGGCCCAAUCCUGUUUUGGGCUGAUGUUUGGCCCAUUUCCAACUGGGUUGGGUUCGGCCCAUUUAGUUGGGCCGGCCCAGCCCGUUUUUUAUUUUUAUUAUAUAUAUUAUGAAUUAUAGUAGAUUAUAAUAUAUAUGUGUGUAUAUUGUGUAUAUAUAUUUUUACUUUAAAAAAAAAUAUAUUUCGAAAAAAUCUAAAAAAAAAAUAUUGUUGAUUUCCUUGAAUAUUUUUGUCAAAAUGGGUUAAUGUUGGUUGGUAUUUUUAUACUGUAAAGAUACAAAAUCAAUGUUAAAAAUACUUGGUUUUCGUAAAAACAUCAAAGAUUUUCAGAAUAAGAAAUGUUUUUGCUUUCAAAAAAUUUUCUAAAAAAUCCCUAAAAAUAUUGUUGAUUUUUCUGCAUUUUUUUUUAUUAAAGUGGAUUAAUAUUGGGUUGUAUUUUUAUACCGUAAGGAUACAAGCUCAGUAUUUAAAUACCCGAUUUUCGUCAAAACCUAAAAAACAAAAAAAAUAAUAAUAAUAUUUUCAAAAAUUGUUUUGUUUUAAAAUACGGCCUGGUCUCUCCAAUAUAUAUAGAUAUAAACAUUAUAACAUCAUAUUUUUUUUACACAACAAAGAAAAUUUUCAAAACAAUAUAUGAAUUAGCAUGCAUUUUGGCUUUAAUGACCAGUUUAUUUAAGCCAUGAGAACUAGGCCAAUAUUUCAAAAAAAUUCUAAAAAUCUUUUUGUUUUCUCUUAGUAUUUGGGAUUACGAAUUUAUACGUAAAACGUAUUCCUAAAUAUUAUUUUUUUGUAUAGACGUUAGAACGGUUAGGAUUUUACUCGAUAAGAUAAAAGACCUUCUUACUGAGGAGGAUUUUUCUUGAACCAUAGACAGACCCACGACUAGAAGUACAAUAACAUCUUAGUUUUUAUCAGACAAUAAAACAAUGCAGCUUACUUUAGGUAGGGCGUAUUUGGGGUGCUAAUACCUUUCCUUUACGCAACCAGUCCCCAUACCCGAUCUUUGAGACCAGUUAGGGUUCUUAGUGACCAAAAUACUAAGUGGCGACUCCCAUUCCAUUUUCUACUCACAAAAGACAAUAUUUUCUUGUAUCCCCAUAGAUAUGGAUAGAUUUACAUUGUAGAUAAGAAAAUGGAACAACCAAUAUAAUUUUCGCCGCGACGCCGCACACGUGCGACAAUCUAGAAGGAACGAGUAUUCCAAAUCCUCAAAACAUUUCUGUAAAGAAGAGAUGGGCUCAUUGAAAUAAACUGGAAGACAAACUCUAGUAAGAUCCUUCCCGAUAUUAUCUUUAAUCAUUGACCAAAGACUGACCCCCUUCUCCUUCUCAACUGGGUCAGGCAAUUUCUUUCGCCUCAUAACACAAGGGUAGUUAGAUCCAACAAAUUUGAUACAGGAAUCCAUGCCAUCUUCAAUAUCAAGCGGGCCUUCGUCUUCAUCAGAAUCAUAUGGUGUUUUCUGAAAUUCAGAUUCAGCACUUUUAAACGAACUUGAUGAAAGAAAAUCUUGAGUAUCAAGGAAUUCAUCGUCAUCAUCUGUUUCCUCCUCUGCAGCAUCAUGUCUGUCAUGAUCAUCAUCGGAGCCACUUGCACUUCCCUCUACAUAAAUUCCACACAAAGAGGGUCAAAAGAUAAAGUUAAAAUGGAUGACAGAGUUCAAAAGGAAAACAGAGAAAGAGGCUAAAUAUUGAAGACACGAGCAAGAGACAGGGGGCGAGAGGCCAGGUGUUGGUUUUCAAUUAUCCAUGAGAAAUCAAUUAGAAAUAGGUAUGUAUAUAAAUGAGUUUGAUUUAAAUAGCUACUAGUAUAGCAAUCAACUUGGGAGUUUUGAAGCAGAGAAACUUCAGACAAGGGUAAAGUAACAGGCCACAGGAAUUCAUCAUAAAAGCAGAUAGAGGUGCCUCAUUUAACCCACUCACAGACAGCUCAUCAUUCGCAUACAAGGCGCCAUGCAAGGCAGCUGAAAGUAUUUCAUAGCAUCCAUUUUCAGAACAAAGGAACUUCUAACUAAGCAAAACUAUAAUUCAACCAAACAAAAGUUAACUAUAGAAUCCAUGGCUGGUCCUCCAAACAUUUCUUCUUACAUAUAAUCAGCUGCUAAAACAAAUAAACAUGCACAAGUAUUGCAUUCAAAUUUCAAUCUAACAUGAAGGAUUAACAAACACGUCAGAUUUAAUUAUUCCAUAACCCACUAUUAAUCUAUCAUCAUUACACAUAAUUUAUGUAAGAUUAUCUUUUAUCUUUGACAAUUAUUGCAUUGCUAAUAAUUUGCAAGAAAACAUACUUUUUCAAUUUCCUUUUAUUUUUUUUUAUUAUGUUAGUAGAUGCUAGAUGCUGUUUGUUUUUGUGUUUUAAAAAUAUUUUUAAAAAAAUUUGAGAUUUUUUUAUUUUUUUUAUUUACUUUAAAUUAAUAUUUUUAGAUUAAUUUAAUACGUUAAUUUUAAAAAUAUUUAAAAAUAAUUCGAUGGUUUUUAAAUAAAGUUUUUUUUAGAAAAUCAUGACCCAUCACUGGGUAUCGAAAAAACAAUUAUGGUUGAUUUAGCCUCAUCUUCUCUGCUUGUAAAAUUGAGGCAGAUUAUGAACUUAACCGAGCAAUUACGGCUUGAAAUUCCUAGCAAUUUACAAAGGAAUUUUCCUUGUUCUUUCUCUAUACAUUAUUAGAAAAACUGUCAUUGACUGAUUUAAUUGCAAAGUCUUUGCAAGAAAGCUAAAACAAUUAGAGUUUUUUAAAAUAAAAAAAAUAUAAAGAAAAAAAUAAAAAUUAAAAAUUAAAAAAGGAGCAAAAGGAAACAACCCCCGUAUUUAUUGUUCCCUUUCCCGUCUUUACAUGGCUUGAUGAAAAAGCAAACACCCCAUUAGUUGUUGCCACCAAAUUCAACUACACGCUUGAGAAAUUUCCUUGCUUUUUUCCCCUCUAAGUGUUACCUUUUACCUCUUUUAUAAUUUUGAUUAUUGCAUUGCUAAUAAUCUGCAAGAAAGAUGAUGAAAAUUUUUUAGUGAAUUCAAAAUAACAAAAUAAGGUUUGUCGAGGCUUUUCUUGGAACCUCGCUAGGGGUUUAAUUAGCGAGAAUGAAUUCUACAAAGAUAUCGGACUGUGAGUUUGUUUCACAAUAAUGACCUUGUGGGUGGACAAUCAGAAUACGUUAGUGAGACAAAAUAUAAUGAGGUUAAUAAUGGGCUUCUACCACUCAUCAUUUAUCCCCAGGGAAGGCCAGGUAGGCCUAGGCCACUGCUUCUGUUAAAAAUACACUUAAUUCAGCUUAGGCAUCAACAAUAUUUUGCAUUAGUCUUACCACUACAUUAUAAUUAUAAGAGCUGUCAAGAUUCUGUUAAGUUAAUCUUUUAACAGAUCAUAGCAUGAUAUAAAUUUGGUGCUAUAAAUUAGCAAUUGAGUUUGUUUGGUUUACUAUAUAUUUGUACGGAUUGCAAUGAUCCAAAUACAAUCAAUUCAUUUUAGUUCAAUAACAAAACUAAAAUAACACUUGUAAGGUGAUGCAUAUUCUUGCAAUAAAUAAAGCCACCAAAGGCAGAUGCGUAUGUCUAUAUAUACAUGAACUGCUGAUUCGAUUUGAACACCCCAUUUCUCCGAUUGCUGCAAUUUCAUAGCUAGCUCUUUGUUAUACACAGGUAUACACGGCUAACUCUUCUUUGCUUCUUUCUUGUUUUAAUUUCAUGUCUUUACCAAUAACAUUAAUGUGAAAGCUUUGUUUGUUUCAUGUUUAACUUCAGUUGCUAUUGUCUUAUGCUAUCUCAUUAUUAAGCUUAAAUUGCUGUAUUAUCUUCGAUGAUCACUUCACCUGUAUCAGCAAUUGCUAAAUAUUGAUUGUUCCUUAAAUUCUGCAGCUGAAAUGACAGAGCCAGAGUCUUCUCGCUCUAGACCAGAAGGGGCCUAUGAUGUCUUCUUGAGUUUUAGAGGAGCGGAUACUCGCAAGACGUUUACUGAAUAUCUAUAUGCUACCUUAAAUCAAGCAGGAAUCCACACUUUUCGAGAUGAUGAUGAACUUCCUAGAGGAGAAGAAAUCUCCAAUCAUCUCCUCAGGGCUAUUCAAGAAUCAAAGAUAUCCAUAGUUGUCUUCUCAAAAGGAUAUGCUUCUUCUAGAUGGUGUCUCGAUGAACUUGUAGAGAUUCUGAAGUGUGAAAAGAAGAAAACCGGUCAGAUUGUUAUUCCUAUAUUCUAUGACAUUGGUCCUUCAGAUGUGAGAAAACAGACUGGCAGUUUUGCAGAGGCAUUUGAUAAGCAUGAAGAGCGUUUUGAAGAGAAGUUGGUGAAGGAGUGGAGAAAAGCUCUCAAGGAGGCUGCAAAUCUAUCUGGAUGGAAUCUCAAUGAUAUGGCAAAUGGGUAUGCCUUUUUUUCUCUAAGAUUCACUUGCACACAUUUAUGGAGUCAUUAUACUCUACAUUUUUCAAUGUGAAACAAUAAAAUACUCAAUUGACUCGCUAUCAAUGACUUGCUUUUGUCUAUGAGCAGGUCUGAAGCAAAAUUUAUCGAAAAGAUUAUCAAGGAUGUGUUGAAUAAAUUAAAACACAAGUACUUGAAUGUUCCUGAGCACCUGGUAGGUAUGGAUCGGCUUGCUCGCAAUAUUUUUGACUUUCUAAGUACUGCAACAGAUGAUGUAUGCAUUGUGGGCAUACAUGGGAUGCCAGGAAUAGGAAAGACAGCUAUAGCAAAAGUUGUAUUUAAUCAACUCUGCAAUGGAUUCGAGGGAAUCUGCUUUCUUUCGGAUAUCAAUGAAACAUCAAAACAAUUCAAUGGUCUGGCUCUUUUACAAAAGCAACUUCUUCAUGAUAUUUUACAACAAGAUGUUGCUAACAUCAAUUGUGUCGAUAGAGGAAAGGUUCUGAUCAAAGAACGACUUCGUCCCAAAAGAGUUCUUGUUGUUGCUGAUGAUGUGGCUCAUCUGGACCAGCUGAAUGCAUUGAUGGGAGAUCGAAGUUGGUUUGGUCCCGGAAGUAGAGUGAUAAUUACAACAAGAGAUUCAAGUGUUCUACUUAAAGCAGAUCAAACAUAUCAAAUCGAAGAAUUGAAACCAGAUGAGGCCCUUCAGCUUUUCAGCUGGCAUGCCUUUAAGGACACCAAGCCAGCAAAAGAGUAUAUUGAGCUUUCGAAGAAAGCCGUUGAUUACUGUGGAGGACUUCCUUUAGCUCUUACGGUUAUAGGAGCUUGUCUGUCCGGGAAAAACAGAGGUAGAUGGGAAAGUGAAAUUGACUACUUGAGCAUAAAUCCAAACCAAGAUAUUCAAGGAAAGCUUCUAAUAAGUUAUCACGCACUUGAUGUUGAACUACAAAGAGCAUUCCUUGAUAUCGCUUGCUUCUCUAUUGAUAGAAAGAAAGAGUACAUCGCAAAAGUGCUAGGAGCCCGUUUCCGUUGCAAUCCAGAAGUUGUUUUGGAAACUCUCCGUGAAAGGUCUCUAAUUAAAGUAUUGGGAGAGACGGUAACCAUGCAUGAUCUAUUACGAGACAUGGGAAGGGAGGUCGUCCGUGAAUCGUCUCCCUUGCUUCUUGGAAAGAGGACCAGAAUUUGGAAUCAAGAGGAUGCAUGGAAUGUACUUGAGCAGCACUAGGUAAGAGCUCAAUGCAUAACGAAAGCACAGUCAUGCGUGUUUUCUAGUCAAACUUAUUACAAAUAAUUGUAUGAAAGUUGUAUUGAUUUUUUUCUUAGGAUAGGUAUGCGUCUUGCACUGGAUGUCAGAUCAUUAGAAGCUAAAUCAAAUGAAAUGCUUAAAUUUACUCCAAAUUAAUGGACUACAUCUCAUCGGAUCCUUCAAGCUGCUUUCUAAAGAGUUGAUGUGGAUUUGUUAACUUCAAUGUCCUUUGAAAUAUUUUCCAUCUGAUUUUACAGUUGAAAAUCAGAUUAAGCUUGCUCUUUAAAAACACAUAAAAAUAGUCAUGGAACACUUGACUGAUCAAACAAAAAAAAAAUUAUUUAUUUUCUUUUAUUGAGCUCCAUAGUUUAAACUCUCUCUUUUCACAUAAUUUUUAGUUUGGUGUAAAUAUUCUAAUGUUUUUUAUAAUCUUUAUAUUUAUAUUUUUCAAUAUAAGUACACAUAGCAUCAUUGAAUCUUUUGAUUGAAAGUAAAAGGUUUUAUCUCGUAAAAUCAUCUCUAGAAGGUUUUAUUUGGUCAGUCUUCGAAAACUUAGGGAUUAAAAAAAAAAAACUUCUUGAUUUAAUUUGGAAACCUCAAGGAGAAAAUUGAAACAAGUAUAACCUCACGGGGGAGAAGUUGAAUUCUCCCCAAACUCAGGGGUUAAUUAAAAUUAACCUUUAAAUUUCUAUCCAUGCCCAGGUGCCCACGAAAGAGAAGAGGUACAUCCACGUGAAGCUCAUUUUGGGUUUGGGUUAGUUGAAAAUAUCUAGUGGGUGGGGCUUUUUUUUCUGUUUUUCUGUUUUUUUUUUUUUUUUUUUAUGCACAGAAUACAUGAAAUAAUAAAUUUAAAUCCAACAAAUCCAAUAGAGAUAUAAUACUGUAUACGAUCAACAUGAAAGAAUUUUACGAAAAGACAUGCAAAUAUCAUAUAUUAUGAGUCUCUGCCAGUCAUAAUUCUAUUGUUGUGUAUCAUCAAUUAUCUUUCUUGUAUAGGAAAUAUCAGGUUGGAUUUUGCUGAUGACAAACUUAAUCUUAGAGAUUGCAUCUGCGGUUUUUGACCAGAUGGGUUACGCAUUAAUUGGCAUGGUGUUGGCAUUUGUAGCUUUGCUUCUUGCUGCCGUUGAACUCAUUCACAUGGCUCGAAAGGAAAGAACUAAACGGGAGGGCCUAUUGCCACCUUUUCAUCUCCAUGCAACUGGAAAGCCUGUUGGCACUAUUGUUGAGUAUUUUGGAUUGGCUGGUGCUGUCUGGCAAUGUGUUUAUUCGACUGUGGAGUAUAUGUAUACUCGUCAGAAGAAAGAUAAUCCAAUUAAGAUGUGUCUUCUACCUUUCAUUUUCUUAUUAUGCGUGGUGAUUUCCAAAUUAUUAGUCAACAAGAGUUCCGUUGUAAAUAGUUCUUAGCAAUGGUAUUUUCUUUGAACUAGAAGAAAUUGCUAGUAUUGUGUUCCAAGGACUCUUUUUAGUGGGAAUGAGUCAAAGAUUUUGAUUCCUAGAUUUUCUUAUCGAAGACCCAGACUUGUAAUGCAAUUAAGACACUAUUUUUGAGACAGUGAGCUUGAGUUGAUGUUGACAAUCUAGCUAUUAUUGAUAUGCGGUUAAGUAAUCUCAAAUAACUAUGGAAGGAAAAAACUGUCAUUGACUGAUUUAAUUGGAAAUUAUUUGCGAGAAAGCUAAAAAGAAUUAGAGUUUUUUAAUUUAUAAAAUUAUAAUUCUAAAUUCUAAAAAAAAAUUCAAUUAUUUUUAAAAUUAUUUUAAAAAAUAAAACAUCAACUAUUUAUAUAAUAGAUAAAUAAAUCUAUUAAAAUAAAUUGAGAAUAACUAGUAAAAUCAAGCAAAUAAUCCAAAAAUAACAAGAAAAUAAAUAUAUUUUCUAGAUCUUAUUUGAGUAUUUUUUUUUUUCUUGAUUGACUGCCUUGUCAAAGUCUUUAUUCAGCAUAAACAAACUUUAUUCUAAAAGUCUGUUUGAUAUUUCUUCACUUAUCUAUGACAUUACUUCUACUGUACAGAAUAGAAAUAAAAAUUAGAUGAUAUUGGAAUGACAAAAACUCAUUUGCACAAAUUAUCCAUUAUGUAAUUUAUAUUUUCAAAUUACAAUUUUUGACGAGCCUUGUGUUUAGUUAAGGUGUAUCAAUCUGUUGGCUAUUUGAGGAGCCUCGGUUACUUGAAUCUGAAGGGAUGUUAGAGGCUAAAAAUCCUUCCGCGGAGCAUUUGUGAUAUGAAGUCUCUUGAAACUUUGAAUAUUUCAGGGUGUUCAGGACUUGAGAAAUUACCAGAUUGCAUGGGUGAUAUGGAAUCCUUAACUAAGGUGCUAGUGGAUGGAAUUGAAAAUGAGCAAGUUCUCUUUUCAAUUGUAUAAUUAAAGCAUGUCAGAAAAAUAUCAUUGCGUGGAAACAGUUUCUAUCAGAACUCAUCGUCAUCUACAUUUUGGCAUCCACCAAUUUCUUCUUGAUUUCAGCAAGUGUUUUAUAUUGAAAACGUUUCUUGAACUUCCUGAUGAUGAUUUUUCUAAUCACGCAACUAACUGUGUUGAUUUUAGGGGUUUGUCCUCUCUAGAACAAUUGGAUCUAUCACAAAAUAAAUUCUCUAGCGUGCCUUCUGGGAUCGACUUCCUUCCCAAGCUAGGGACCUUGAGUGUUGUUGGAUGCGACAAUCUUGCAUCAAUCUCAAAUCCUCCCUCAAAUUUAUACUGUUUGAAUGCACUUUAUUGCAAAUCAUUGAAAAGAGUAAGAAUACAGUCAAAAGAAGAAAUACUUAUAGAUCUAAAUGAUUGUCCUUUAUUAGAAGAGAUUCAGGACAUCGAAGGUCGCAGUAAUAUUUUCUAGUGUAUUUAUGUUGAUUUCCCUAGGGAUUCAUCAAAUAAUUUCUAGAAGAGCCUUAUUGAGGUACUAUUUAUGUCUCUCUUGCGCAAAAAUAAACACACACAUUGAUUAAUUUUUAAAAUCUCAGCAUUACUUGAAAUCAAUAUAUAUUUAUACAGGCAUUGGGCGCCAGUUGUUACCGGUAUUUUAUUUACAACAUUCCUGGUGAGAUGCCAAAUUGGUUGAGUUAUAUCAUCUUUUCUUAUAUUUCCCUUGUGAUUUAGAGCCCGUUUGGAAACAUGGGCCAACCCGCGUUUCCAAAAAUUUUUAAAAAAAUAUUAUAAAAAUUAAAUUUAUUUUUUUUUAUUUUGAAUUGUUUUGAUGUACUGAUCUUAAAAAUAAUUUUACAAAAAAAAAAAACCCACCAUUUUUGCAUUUCGGCAAGAAAAUAAUCACAACCAUACUCCCAAAAGGCUCUUAAUAAUAGCGUCAACACAUGAGCAAUGAAGUAACUAUUUAUUUCCGAAGCUACAAAAACAUAAUCUCGAUUUAAUGUUUUUUUUUGUAAGAAUAAAUAUUUCAUUUAGUUAUUAUUAUUUUAUUUCUUUUAAUUUAAAACAUUAAAAAUUAUCUUUAAUUAUUUUAUUUUUCUUAUUUAAUUUUAAAAAUUAAAUAUCAUCUUUAAUAAUAUUUUUUUAUUAAAUAUUUAGAGUAUGUUAGAUUUUAUUAUUUAUUUAUUUUAUUUUAUGAUAAUAUUUUUAUUAUUAAAUUUAAAAAAUUAAAUGUUAUCUUUAAUAAUUAGAUCUAUCCAAUCUCACUUAAUUAAACCAUUAUUUUAUUGCUAGAAACUUAUGAGUCUUUUAAGCCAAAAGAAUUGUAGGAAGAGCUAAAAUUAGCAAGGAAUAUUUAGAGUCUAUUUGAUUUUAUUGUUUAUUCUUUGAUUUCAUGGUAAAAUUUUUAAAUUUUGAAAAACAAAAAUUGAAGACUUAUAUGUUUUGAACUUUUUUGUUAUAUAUAUAUAAAAAAAAAAACCAACAGUCACUAACAUAAUUUCGUAAAAUCACUUUAGUUUAUUUGAAAAAUAUAUUGAAAACUGAUUUUUUGUUUUUUUACAUUAAAAACAAAAAUUGAACAAUCUUUUUAUAUUUUACUUCAAAUAUGGUAUUUUAAAACAAAAAUGAAAACGACGUGAAAUUAACCAUUUUAAUUAUAAAGUAAGUUUCUUAAUUAAAAGUGAAAGUGAGUUAAUUUGUAAUAACAUGAAUUUUGUUGGUUUUUCAUGGAACGCAAUAGGUCAGCACUGGAUGCAAGACCCUUAAAAGAUAGAUCAUUGAUCAUUUACAGAGAGAUGCUUGAAGUUAAUUACUCUAGAUAAGUAUUGGGCUUUUCAGAUUUCUUUCUGACAACUUAUUCAUGAUGGAAUUUAUACUUUUUCUCAAGACAAAUUGAUAAAAACUACAAAUACAUAAACAAAAAAAAAAAGUAUUUAAUCGUUAUGUUUUAUAUUCAUCUAUGAUUUAAUUUUUUUCCAUCAAUUUCAUUUUCUUAUUUAUUUUAAUCCUAAAAUAACAAUAAAAAAAAAAUAAAAAAUCAUAUCAAGAAGUUCAAUUCAAAAUAAACAAGAUGCUUAAAAAAUCUUUUAGUAUCGCAUCUUUUUUUUGUAAAAAAAUAUAAAACAACAACGUAUUUAAUCAACUCGAGUUUUGUGGCCUAACCAUACCGUGACAAUCAUGUAAAAAUCAAAUUUUAAAAAAUCAAUCCAUAGAAAAAAAAUGCAUUGGAAAAACAAAUUUAAAAUAAAUUAAAUAAUUAAAAAAAGUUCAGUAAAAUAUAUUUUAUAAAAAAAAUAUUCAGACAAUAAUAACAAUUAUCAAGCUAAUAUUCAUACCAUUCCAAAUGAAGCCUUACAUGGUGAAACGAAGCUCAUUGGGCUAUAAAAAGUGCAAAUAACUUCUGAAAAGAUUAAAACGAUUCAAACUAAGCUCAGGAAGUACAAAGUAGACAGAAGAGUUAUGUUGACCUUAUACGACUGGAAUUGAAAUUUGUUGAUGGUGAUUAUGUAUUUUUGAGAAUUCCUCCUACCAUAUAUUGGGCCUUUUAAAAUUUUGAAGAGAAUUGGUGCUGUUGCUUAUGUAUUAGCUUUUCCACCCAGCUUUUUCAUCUAUACAUCCAGUGUUCCAUGUAUCUCCGUGCUCUAUCACAUAUAUUGGAGCCAUAAACAGUAGCAUUUCAAGAAGAUAUGUCAUGUGAGAAUCAACUGGAGAACCUGAGAAGAUGAUACGUAAUAAAUAUUGUUAUUUCUUCGUUCAAUCAAGCCCAUUUGUUAGUUAUAUAACCCAUUAUUGUUUUAUAUGUUGGCCCGUUAAUUAGGUAGCCCAUUUGUUAUUACAGAAAGAUAGAGGUAAGGACAUUGUUAGUCAUUUUCUUCCUUAAUUCUCUCUUUGUUGUAAUGAGUAAAUACCUUAAGAAAUUUGAAUAUUUGAAAGAUAAUGAGUAAAUUUCAAAGAAUCAUAUUGAAAUUAUGGAAAAUAUGUUUUGGUGUUGAUGAUGGAAGAAUUACAGUUUGGUCCUUGCCUUUGAGAAAUUAAGAUUUUGUCCCUAAAUUCUAAAACAAUUAUAGUUUAGACUCUGGUUGUAAAUAGCAAUUUUUAGAUAUCUUUUUGAUAAAUAUUUGAGAAAUAUUGAUUAUCUAUUAUCAAUUUUUAUUGUUAUCAUUUAAAUUUAGAAUUAAUUCUAUUAUGUAUUUAAAUGCGUUUAGCUAUUUUUUCUCCUUUAAUGUAGCUAUUUUUUCUCCUUUAAUGGGCUAGGAUUUGAAACAAAUGUGGCUAUGUUUUCUCCGUUUAAUAUAAAAAAAUAAUAUUCAUGGAUUAAUUUUCGUAUAAUUCAAGAAAGCAAGUCCUUAAAUCAAAUUUUAGAGUGACCAUCCUCAAUGUGUUAAAAGUAAAUGUUAAAGGAGAGAGAGAAAUAAAAAUAAAAAUAAAAAGCAAAAGCAAAAGGAAACAACGCCCAUCUUUCUUGGUCCUCUCUCUCUUUCCUUGCUUUUUUUAACGUGUGGACCUAGCAGUUGUUGCCACCAAAUUCCAGCUCAAUAUUUACCAGCUCUACACGCUUGAGAAAUUUCCAUGCUUUUCUUCCUCUACGUACUGUUACCUUUUACCUUUUAUAAUUAUGAUUAUUGCAUUGCUAAUAAUCUCCAAGAAAGAUGAUGAAUAUUUUUUAGUGAAUUCAAAAUAACAACAAAUAAGGUUUGUUGAGUCUUUUCUUGGAACCUUGUUAUGGGAUUAAAUAGGGAGAAUAAUAAAAUUAUGUGCGAAUUAUACAAAAUUUAUUAUUAAUCAUAAAUUUUUAUUCUUGAUCAUCAAUAUUGAAUAAUGGCUUAUUUUCUAGUAUAAACUGUGUUUGAAAUAUCAAGUUGAUGUUCUUAAGUGUUUUUUUGAUGAUUUUAAUAUACUGAUAUUAAAAAUAAAAAUAAAAAUAAAAAAACUAAUUUUGUUUUCAAAAAGAAAUUGACAAUCAAUUCCUUGCUUUACUCUCCAGCUAGCCUGAUACAUAUGAGUCUCAAGACAUAUGGCCAUUGAUAAAAAGGUGUGUUGAAGCAAAAUCUUUUUUUAAUUAUCUGUAGCGACCUCAAUAAUUUUGUCAAUAUGCACCUACCUUGAAAUUACCAAUACGUAAAUUCCAGCUCAAUAAUUGCCAAUACGAGCUUGAGAAAUUUCCUUGCUUUUUUUUUCCCCUGUACAUGUUUCCUUUUUAUCUUUUAUAAUUAUAAUUAUUGCAUUGCUAAUAAAUUACCAAUACGUGUGGACCCAGUUGUUGCGACCACCACGAAAUUACCACUCCAAAUUCCUUCUUCUUUCUCUGUAUUUUAUUAGAAAAACUGUCAUUGACUGAUUUAAUUGGGAAUUAUUUGCGAGAAAGCUUAAAGAAUUAGAGUCUUUUAAUUUAUAAAAUUAUAAUUUUAAAUUGUAAAAAAAAUUCAAUUAUUUUAAAAAAUAAAAUAUCAACUAUUUAUAUAAUAGCUAAAUAAAUCUAUUAAAAUAAAUUGAGAACAACUAGUAUAAUCAAGCAAAUAAUCCAAAAAUAAUAAGAAAAUAAAUAUAUUUCCUAGGUUUGAUUUGAGUAUAUUUUUUAUAUUAAUUGACUGACUUGCUAAGUCUUCGCUGAGCAUAAAUGAACUUUACUCUAAGAGUAAGAGUAUGUUUGAUAUUUCUUUACUUAUUAAUGAAAUGUUACUUUUAAUUUAUAGCGGAUUGAUUUAUUGAGCCAAUCUGAAUUUAAUAACUAUAGUCUAUAGUCAUACUGCUAAUACUUGCACCGAAGCUAAUAAUAUUUUUUUUCUAAAAUAAAGAUGAAUAUUUUUUGUUGGCAUUAAUAAUUUAAAAUGAGAAUUAAAGAGCAAAGGGUUUAAGCAAUAUUAAAAGAGAAGGUUUUGUGUAAGUAUUAGAUAAUUGAAAUCAUCACUAGUUCAUUUUCUUUUUUUAUUACCCCUUCCGCUUGGCAUGCCUGAAAAGGAGCCAAAAAAAUAACCAUAGGUUUUUCCGGUUUUGGACCUCAUAGGUUUGGACCGGUUCCGGUUUAGUUUGGAUCCCUUUUUUAAAAACAGUUUGGUUGUUUUCUAAAGGUAAAAACCAAACCGAACAAAAAAUGAUCACCUCUAGCAGCAACAACACAUUAACAUACCAGCAUUAUGGCAGAAGGAGGGACGACCUUAGAGCAAGUGCAGAGGUAUGUUAAAGGCUUGGGUAAGCUAUAGCCCAAGUCAAGACUUUAUCAAUAUUUUAUAGCUAGUUUUAUGUAAAAAAAAUUAUAAUUCUUGAUUGAGUUAUCAAAAAAAAAAAUUAAAAUUUACGUGGAGCCUUCUAAUAUAAUAUUUUAACUUGGGUUAAAAUUUCAUAAUAAUUUAAGAAAUUCAAAAAUUUGAUGAAAAAUCACAAUUUGACCAGUUUUAUGUUAUUGGACAUAAUUUUCAAUUCGACAAUUAGAUUGAACUGAAAUUUUACGAGAGAUCUUAAAAUAUAUUGAAUAAAAUAUGGUUAAAAUUUUAUGAUGAACGAAGCUUGGAAGUGCUAACAAAAAAAAACUGUCAAAUAAAAACAAAUCGACUCAUUAAGGGUAAAAUGAUUACUAUUAAAAAAUAAAACAAAUAAGCUCUUCCUUCAUUUUAUAUGUUGCCGACUAGACAGAAGCAGAAUAAGAAAAGAAAGAAAAGAAAAGGCAAGAGAGAAAGAAAUGAAAGUAGGGGUCAUCAUUUUCGGUUCGGUUUGGUUUUUAACAAAACAAGUAACCAAACUGAAUUUUUUUUUGAAAAAAAAACCAAAACCGGUUCGAACCGGCCGGUUUGGUUUUUUAAGGAAAAAAACUGGUUCAAACCAGUUUGACUCGGUUUUUUUUCGGUUUGGCUCGAUUUUUUCGGUUUUGACUCGAUUUUGCUUGGUUUUUUCGGUUUUGGCUCGGUUUUUUCCCGGUUUGACUCGGGUUUUUUCAGUUCGGUUCGGUUUCAGACGUAUAAAACCGAUAUCAAACCGGUCGGUUUUUUCAAAAUUUUAAUCGGUUUUUUUUCACGGUUCGGUUUUUUCAGUUUUUUUGCUCACCCCUAGAUAAAAGUAAGGGAAAAACAUUAAAAAAAAAAUAAGAAAAGUAAAAGAAUAACAUUGUAAACUUACAAAGUCCAACUUAUAAAACACUAAUUUAAGGAAGAAUUAAGUGAAGGAAGGAGGAAUUGAGAGAGAGAAAAAAUUUAAUUACUUUGUUUCCAGUUGACAUGAGAUUGUUAUUUUAUCUCGAUUGAGGAGUUGUUACAAUAUCGAUUAAGAUUCGAUUAUAGAUAAAUUAUAUUUCACAAAAUAUUGAAAGAUGUAACUUCAAUAAUAAAUUUAUUUUUACUUUCACUUCAAUUUUAUGUAUUUUUAAAUUUAUUUUUUAAUAUUUUGGGUAGUAUAUUUGAAUUAAAACUUUAUUAUUAGUUUCAAAUAUAUAUAUAUAUAUAUAUGAAUUAAUAAUUAAUCUUAAAUAAAAUUAUAUAUUUAUUUAAUAGCUCAAGAAAAAUUCAUUACUCCGUCCUUACAUUAGAGUACACUCCCACAUGCGUUGUGGCGGCGGUUUGCUCUGUUAUUGCGCUCAUUUCUCUUAUUGUUGAAAGAUCCCUUCGCCUCCUUGGAAAAAGAUAAUAUAACUGCAUUGACCGGAGAUUUCACUUAGAAUUUCUAGUAAAUUACAAAGGAAAUUUCCUAUGUUUUUUCAUGUACAUGUAUUGAAAAACUAUCACUGAUUGACUGACUUGCAUUGACUGAAUUUCUAAGUAUUUGCUGCUCGAAAUGAGCAAUCCUGUUUUUUCAAUGCUGCCAUUUAGCAAGUCCACAUGUCAUGAGUCUACACGGCAUCAAAUUUGCAAAAUCAUAUAGCCCAUUGAUAGAAAUCAUAUAGCCCAGUUGUUGCAAUACACCCUUGAGAAAUUCCAGCUCGAUCUUUACCAAUACACGCUUGAGAAAUUUCCUCUACGUACGUGUUACCUUUUACCUCUUUUAUAAUUAUUAUGAUUAUUGCAUUCCUAAUAAUUUGCAAGAAAGAUGAUGAACACUUUUUAGUCAAUUCAAAAUAACAAAAUAAGGUUUGUUGAGGCUUUUCUCGAUCAGGGAUUAAUUAACGAGAAUAAGAAAAUCCCCUUCAAAUUAUACAAAAUUUAUUAUUAGUCAUCUAUAUUUAUUAUUAAUCAUCUAUAUUGAAUAAUGGCUUAUUUUAUAGUAUAAACAAUGUUUGAAAUAAAAUUAGUAAAAGAUAUUAUACAUAAUUAAUGAUGGGAUCGUUUAUAAAAAUGACUAAAUUAAAGUUUUUCAAUUAUAUUUAAACAUAUUAUAAUUUUAAUAAAUGGGCUGUACAUCAUGUAAAUUAUAAAAGAAUAUUUAAAUUAUAUAUAUAUAUAUAUAUAUAUAUAUAUAUAUAACAAAUUAGAUGAUACUAACAAGAAAAUAUAUAGGAAUUAGUUUGAAUAAAGGAUACUAGUUAUAUAUCUAGAGAAGAAGUUCGAAGAAUAGAAUGAAGUCAAAUAUUCUUAAUAAAAAAGAAAAAAACACAUAAAGAAAUAAAAUAUGUUUUUAAUUAAUAAAUAUAAAAGAUGGAUGAAAGUAUUAGAGAAGAAGAAAGAGAUAUAGAAUCUGUUUGUGAAAUUUCUAAGAACUUAAUUACAAUUAUAUUAUAAUUUCUUCCCUAAAAUUAUUCAAAAUAUAGUAUUAGAAUUACAUAAUGCUAGGUUUUAAUAUAUAAUUAAAAAGUUUCCCAUGAACCAAAUAAUAAAAAUAUUGUAUAACUCUUUUGAAUGAAUUAUUAAAUUAGUCCAUUUAUAGGUUGACUCAGUAUUCCUGCCUUGAUUGCCAGGAAAUUUCACUAGAAAUUUCAAGUAAUUUACACAGGAAAUUUCCUGGUGAUAAACCUGGGAUAUGAUUUUCAACUUUCUUGGCAGCUGCAUCAAGGAAAAAACGUUUCAGAUGCGAAAAAUAAAGAUAAAAGUGGAAAAUAGAAGCGGAAAAAAAAUCCCAAAUAUCGACAAACAUCCCAAAUACAGAUAUCCUUAAAUUUAACCCAUUCUAUUUUACAUAAAUAAAUGAUAAGAUUAGGUGAAGAAUUAUUUGAUGUUUCCAUGCAACUUUGAAAGAAUAAUAAGGAAUAACACUUUUGAGAGAUUAAGAUUAAUUUUCAAUUCAGACAUAAUCAAUUGAGAGAUUAAUACAAACUAAAAGAUAAUAAAUAAAUAAAUAAAUAAAUAUCAGUCAAUUUGAUACAAAUACAAAAUGAUGCAAGUGGAUGCUAUCAGUGUAUUCUUGUAGCUUUCAAUUGUUUUCCCCCCUAAAUUAAGGUGUCGAAAAAUAGACCAAUGAAGCGAUCUUUACUAUCAGUGUGUCUCCCACGGCAAAAACAUUAAUGCAAUCAGUUAGUGCCUGCUGGAAAAUUACUCCAAGAAACUUCAUGGAACCACCAAAAUAAGGAAGAAAACAAAAACGUUAAUAAUGGUGAAAAUAACUUGACAUUAUCUGUCGAGAUGAUUUAAGUUUUUUUUUUUAAAUAAUUAUUUUACAAAUAUUAUAAAUUAAUGUGUUAUGGCGUCACACGUCAAUUUAAGAGAUUGUUUUUUUUAAACGUACUAACAAUCCAACACAAAGCCAUCUAAAAUAUUUACAAAUAGUUAUAGCAUUUAACUAUUUAUGUAGGGUAUUUUUAAGAAAUAUUUUUUAUUUAAAAAUAUUUUAAAAUAAUUCAUUUCCGCUUGCAUGUCAUGCUCCUCCAUUGUUUUUGCAGCCUGUCCCGUUCCAGUAUCUGCACACCACGCACUGCCGAUGUUUCCGGUGUUUUUUCCGCGUUCCUCCGUGAAUAAAAAAAUGUUAUUUUUUCUCGUUUAAUUAUUUAAAUAUUUAUUUUGAAGUGUUUUUUUUUUGGAUUGCACGAUGUAAUUUAUGUAUUUGCACAAUAGUUGUGUGAUUUACAUAAAUUUUAUUUAUAUUGAAUGAUAUUUUUCCAUCCUACAUUAACCAUAAUUCUAUAGGUAGAAUCACCUUCGAAGUGACUAAAUCUGCUUUAAUAUAUUUGAGAUUCACUCAAUGCCACUCUCAUCGGUAUUCUAAAAGCGAAGAGAAGAGUAGAAGCAAUGUGAUAGCUAUACAGGUGAGACUUAAUAAUUUACAGGUGAUAAUUAUUUUUUAAAAUAUUUUUUUUAUUUGAAAAUAUAUUAAUUUAAUGUAAAAUAAUAAAUAAAAUUAAUUAUUUUUAAUUAUUUUUUAAAAUGUAAAAACAAAGAGGAUAUAAUCAACCGUAUGUUACCUUGUAAACCGUAUGUUAGAGUCCCUCAAAUAUUCUGGCUACAGCAACCACUAUAUUGUAUGCCAAGCAGUAUUUUGUCCUUGAACCCUUGGCCCUCUAAAUUACCCAAAAAGGACAAUAAUUGAGCACAAGCGGUACAGGUCAGGCUUAAACUCAGCUUGCUAGAGCCAGUUCUCAAUUUUAGGCACCAGUUCUCAAUCGAAUUUUAGCAAAAUCAAGGAUCCAAGAAUUGGCCUCUGUAACAUGGUUUGUAUUCUGAGCCAAUCUGGGCUAGGAUUUGAAACAAAUGUAGCUCUUUUUUUCUCCUUUUAUUGUAAAAAAAUAAUAUUCAUGGAUUAAUUUUCGUGUAAUUUAAGAAAGUAAGUCCUUUAAUCAAAUUUUAGAGUGAUCAUCCUCAAUGUGUUAAAAGUAAAUGUUAAUUACCACUAAGAAGGAACGCAAAAAGACAUUCCUUUUCUUGUCAUAAAGUUUUGAAGAGCUAUCAAAACGUACUAUCGUGUAUUAUUGUCAUAAAAAUUUUCCAACUUUCAAUAUAGAGAGAGAAAUAAAAAUAAAAAGCAAAAGGGAACAACCAUUUUGAUAUUCAAUCAGUAUGAGUGAGAAAGAAAGGAAGCAUCUUUCUUGUGUGCUUUCCCUUCUUUACAUGGCUUACCCGAUGAAAAAAGCAAACACCCCAUUUUGAUUUUCAAUCAGUAUGAUUGAGAAAGAACGACAGGGCAAGGUUUGUUGAGGCUUUUCUUGGAACCUGGCUCCUUGCUUUUUUUAACGCGCGGACCAGUUGUUGCCACCAAAUUCUUUCCUCAAUAUUUACCAGCACUACACUCUUGAGAAAUUUCCAUAGAGCCUUAUAAUAUAAUAUUUUAACUUGGGUUAAAAUUUCAGAGAAAUUCAUAAAUUUGAUGAAAAUUAUAAUUUGACCAGCUUUAUAUUAUUGGGCAUAAUUUUUAAUCCGGCCAUCAGAUUGAGCUCAAAUUUUACGAGAGAUCUUAAAAUAUAUUGAAUAAAGUAUGGUUAAAAUUUUAUGAUGAACAGAGCUUGGUAGUACUAAAAAAAAAAAAAACCGUCAAAUAAAAGCAAAUCGACUUAUUAAGGAUAAAAUGGUUUUUUGCCAUUAAAAAAUAAAACAAAUAAGCUCUUUCUUCAUUUUAUAUGUUGCCGACUGGGUAGAAGCAGAAUAGGAAAAGAAAGAAAAGAAAAAGUGAGAGAGAAAAAGAUAAAAGUAAGGGAAAAACAUUAAAAAAAAUCCAAAUAAAAAAAAUAAGAAAAGUGAAGGAAUAACCUUGUAAACUUACAAUGACCAACUUAUAAAAUACUAAUUUAAAGAAGAAUCAAUUGAAGGAAAGAGGAAUUGAGAGAGGGAAAAAAUUUUAUUACUUUGUUUUCCAGUUGACAUGAGAUUGUUAUUUUAUCCCGGUUGAGGGGUUGUUACAAUAUCAAUUCAGAUUCGAUUAUAGAUAAAUUAUAUUCCACAAAACAUUGAAUGAUGUAACUUCAAUAGUGAGUUUAUUUUUACUUUCACUUCAAUUUUAUGUAUUUUUAAAUUUAUUUUUUAAUAUUUUGGAUAAUAUAUUUGAAUUAAAAUUUUAUUGUUAGUUUCAAAAGUUUAUGUACAUAAAUUAAUAAUUAAUUUUUUUAAAAAAUUAUAUAUUUAUUUAAUAACAACAGGAAAAAUUGUCUCGCAUAAAUUCCCACAUGCGUUGUGGCAGCGGUUUGCUCUGUUAUUGUUCUCAUUUCUCUUAUUGUUGAAAAAUCCCUUCACCUCCUUGGAAAUGGCAUUCCAAGUGUGCAGUAUUUAUUGUCAUAAAGUUUUUCAAACAUCCAAUAUAGAGAGAGAAAUGAAAAUAAAAAGAGCAAAAGGAAACAACCCCCACCCCAUCUUUCUUGUUCCCUUUCCCUUCUUUACAUGGCUUACUCAAUGAAAAAGCAAGCACUAAUGCACCUUCUCCACAAACUACCCCCAAUUUCGCCGCUAUAUAAAUAUAUUAUGGAAAACAAGAUAAAAAGAAAUCUUUUGGUACAUCUAUAUAUAUAUAUAUAUAUAUAUAUAUAUAUAUAUAUAUAUAUAUACAUGGUAUCAGAAUAUCUGUGAAGUAUUGCUGGGAAGUCAUAAUUUUUGACACGCCUAAUCACAGUCUUUUUUUGGAAAUUUCCAUCAUUUGAUCUUGACAGCAUCAGAUUAGACAAUUGCAUGGAAAUGGUCUUCUUAGUUUGCCGUGUGGAAAAUCAUGUCAUUUACGGGGCUGCUGGAGAGAUUUUCUAUUGACCGGUAAUUUCGCUCGAAAAUUUCUAGUAAUUUAUAAAGGAAAUUUCUACUGUAUAUGAAUUGAAAAACUAUUAUUGACUGACUUCUUAAAAAGUAUUCGCAAGAAAGCUAAAGAAUUAAAGUUUUUUAAUUUUUAAAAUUAUAAUUUAAAAUUGUAAGAAAAAAAUCAAUUGUUUUAAAAUUGUUUUCAAAAAUAAAACAUCAACUAUUUAUAUAAUAGCUAAAUCUAUUAAGAUAAAUCCAAAAUAACUAGUAAAAUCAAUGACUUGCAUUAUCAAGCUUGACGAAUUUUAAGCUUAAUCUAUUGUAUUAUCUUUGAUGAUCACUUCACAUGUAUCUCUUGCUUGUAUUUGCAAGAGAGAAGAUACCUUAUGCAAUUGCUCCAUUGCUAAUUGAUUGUUCCUUCUGCUCUCUCAUUAUUAAGCUUAAACUGUUGUAUCAUCUUAUGUUCCACAUUAAGGAUAUAUAAUUAAUUAAUCGGACCGACCAUUAUGUUAAGGAUAAGAGAUUGUGGGCGCCUCUUUUUUCUUGUUGACAACUCAUGAUUUAUUUAUAGCAGUUAAGGAUAUAAUUAAUCGGACCCACCAUUAUGUUCCACGUUAAAGAUAUAAUCCAAUGUUUCAUAAUGAUCAUCUUGAAUUUGGUUUUUUCUGCAUUAAUGUAUAACAGGUAAAAUUAAAUGAUUAUUGGAUGAAUUUGCAUAAAUAUUAAGUCCAAUAACAUAAUUAAAUUUUUAAUAAAUCAAUUUGAUUUAAUCAUGGAUCAAAUUAAUUUUUAAUUAUAUUUAAAUUAAUUUUAAUCCAAUUAAAGGAUUUAAUUAAAUGCAAGGAUUUAAUUAUACUUUAAAAGGGUUAAAUUAAUUUUAUUAGAGAUUUAAUUCAUGAAAAAUUAAGUUUGAAAACUCAAUUUAAGUUUAAUUAAAAAGAUUAAUAUUUUAAAAAAUCAAAAUUAAUUUUUAUCAAAUUAAUUAAUUAAAAUCAGGAUGCAAAAAUAUCACAACACAAUUGAAGUUUAGCUUUUAUCAUUUCAAAAGUUCCAGCCUCAUCUUCACUACUUGUAAAAUUGGGGCAGAUUAUGGACUUAACCGAGCAAUUACCGCUCGAAAUUCCUCGUGAAGGAAAUUUCCUUGUUCUUUCUCCGUAUAUUUUUUUCAUAUUAAUUAUAUUUUUCAUAAUUAUUUGCUCUGAAGAUUACCAAAUACAAAAAAAAAAAAAAUUGUUUCUAAAAUAAUAGGAUAUGAAUAAUUAACUAUAGAAACUAAAGAGUGGAUCGGUUAUCUUUAACGUUUGCAAAUAAUUAAAGAGAUAUAAAUUUUGUGAUGAGUUAUGAUUAACGCAGAAGCAAAUAAAAGAGGAACAGAAAUUAUAAGCCAAUAUUGUUUUCGGUUUCAACUUUAAAUCAAACCUAUAAAACCUAACCAUUACAGCUUCUCUCUCCAUCUUCUUCGUCUGCUUUUGUCAUGGCAUCAACUCAUCGAGUACAGGUAGAGAUACUUGAGGUCUAUCAAGUCAUCCUGUCCUUGAACUCACUUGACCCAGCCAUCGAGUUAUUUUUUCCGCUCAUCUUUUUUCCUACAAACUCACCAAGACAGCAGCGGAUUAUUUUAACUCAGUGAUCCUUCCAGGAAGGCCAGGCCGCAUUGAUUGUGUUAAAAAAAAAAAAUCUAAUUCAGCUUAGUAUCAACUGCAUUAUAAUUAUUUAGGAGGAUAGUUGAACCAUAUUUUUAAAAAAAAUUAAUUUCUUUUUUAUAAUUAUACUCCAACAGCAACUACCUCGAAAUUACCACUCCAAAUUCCAGCUCAAUAUCGAUCAACAUGUGGCUAAAAUUGAUAAAAGACACAUAAUGAUGGUAUUGUAUAUUUUGAACUAAAUUGAGGUUUUUUAAUUAUUACUUCAAAAUAUAUCAUGGUUUUAAUAGUUGGACGGUAUAUUAUAUAAAUUAUUAAAAAAUAUUUAUUUUUAUUAUAUAUGUAGUAAUAAUAAAUUAGAUGAUAAUAACAAAAGAAUAGGAAUUAGUUUGAAUAAACAGUACCAGUUCCUAUUAUGAUAUGUAUAGAGAAGAAGUUGGAAGUAUAAAAUGAAGUCAAAUAUUCUUAAUAAAAAAAACACAGAAAUAAUUAAAAUAUGUUUUUAAUAAAUAUAAAAGAUGGAUGAAAAUAUUAGAGAACAUGAAAGAGAUAUAUAAUCUCUUUGUAAGAUUUCUAAGAACUUAAUUACAAUUACAUUAUAAUUUCUUCCUUAAAUUAUUCAAAAUAUAUAUUAUUCUAGGUUUUAAUGUAAUUAAAAAGGAAGUAUUUGCAGGAAAGCUAAAGAAUUAAAUUUUUUAAUUUUUAAAAUUAUAAUUAAAAUUGUAAGAAAAUAAUCAAUUGUUUUUAAAAAUAAAACAUCAACUAUUUAUAUAAUAGCUAAAUCUAUUAAGAUAAAUCGAAAAUAACUAGUAAAAUCAAUGACUUGUAUUGACGAGUGUGUCUAUAUAUACAUAUAGGAAUUGCUGAUUCGAUUUGAAUAUGUUAUUUGAUUAGUCUAAUUCAUGAUUUGCAUUGACUCAAAAUUACCACUAAAAAUUCCUAGUUUCGUGGUGCUUUCUCGGCCUGCAAAUGAAUAUAAAGCAUAUCCUUUUAUCCUAUAUAAAGAAUACAAUUAACCUUUUUAUCUUUUAUAAUUACAAUUAUUGCAUUGCUAAUAAUUUGCAUGAAAGAAUAUUCUUUCUCUGAAAAGGGCUUGAGAAAACCCUAAGCAUAUUAUAUAAUCUCUUAUAGGAAUCUCUUUAUUAAAUCAUCAAAAUAUCAAAGUCUUUUUCCAAAGACUAUGAGUACAGUUUAUAUAUAGAAACAACCAAAUAUAAAAAUUAUUAUUUUUUAAAUAGAAAAACCAGAGAGCUUGAUAAUAUUUAAUAAAAAAAAUAAAAUAGAAAAAUUAUUCCUUUUUAAGUAGAAAAAAAUUAUAAAGAUUUUAAUAAUACUAAAUAAGAAAAAUUAAAAUUUCUAAACUAAAUUAAAAAAAAAAAGUUUUGGCUACAUUUACUUAGUCCCUGUUAUUUGUAAAGCUUAUAACUUAAUUCAAAUCAAUAAAAGUUUAGCAGUUUGAUACAAAAGCUCAUGGCCAAGUUAGAAAUAUUUGUUUUGGAUGUAAUAAAUAUUCAUAUUGGGACAUAAUAUUUAUCUUUCAAAUCCAUAAUUUAAUUGAUCAUAUAAAUAAAUUUUUUUAAAAAAAAAAAGCAAAAAGGAAACAUCUUUCUUGUUCCCUUUCCCUUCUUUACACGGCCUAGUACUCAAUGAAAAAGCAAACACCUCAUUUGAUUUUCAAUCAGUAUGAGAGUGAAAAUGAGAGAGAGGUACAAGUUUGUUUCUAUCUAAGAAAGCAAGAAGCUCCCACUAAUGCAUGUUCUCCACAAACUACCCCCAAUUUCACCAUUACAGCUCAAGUAGCUUUGAGUCAUUGAUUCCAACAAAUAGGAAUUGAAUUCAAAGGAAUAAAUCAUUAAAUGCGGAGUUGGUGCUCUCGUGUUUGUGGUGCUGAUAAAUGUAAGAACAGACAAAGAGAUGAAAUAGGAAAAAUCCAUGUAUCUAUCCUUUAUCCUGCUGUUAAUUUUUUAAAGACGCGUAUCAGGUGUUUGAUAAAAUUCCUCAACUUAAAAAAAAAAAAAAAAAAAAAAAAAACCAUGUUUAGAAUGCUUGAGUCCUUUACGAGUGGAAAGUGGGAACUAUCCACUUUCCCAUUCUCCACUGACCGUGAAAGAGGGAACUCCUGUGAGAGCUUUAUGCCACUUUCUAUCUUAGAUGUAAUGGCUUCGGCAAAAAGAAACAAAUAAAAGUUAGUGUUCGCACUGCUUUAGCCCAAGUGUCACGGGGUUAAAUUUUUCGCCUCGCAAAUAAACUCGUGCGGCAGCCUAGUCCCGCUAGACUCAGCCUUGCCUUACCCUUUCACUCGUGUUUUCCUACGACUAUGUGUUUCGCUCACUCAAGGAGGUUCUCACAAUCGUCUCGUCGUAGACAAUGCACAAACACAAGCAAGCAUAAGCAAUCACACCGAACUUUUACAAGAAUCCCUCUCAACCUUUAUUUAUCUCAUCAACAAAGGAAAUACACAAAAAUGGUGUGUGCUAUGCACAAAUUCGCAUGCUACACAGCAGAGGCUUGGCAGCCUAUUUAUAGCCAAAUGUGAGCUUCCAUUCUCACCUAGCAUCCCCUAAUUUCGGGGCAUAGUGGAGCACUAUCUCACCUAACAUGGACUAGUGGAGCACUACCUUCCCCCAUGAUCCCCAUUUUCCAUGGACUAAUGGAGUAUUAUCCCAACCAUUAUCUUUGGUUGGUGAACCACUUUCUCCACCAAUAUUCGGUGGGUUGGUGAACCACUUUCUCCACCAAUAUUCAGCCCCUCCACCCAUAUUCUGCCAGCCCUCAUGGCAGUCCCAUUUGUCUUCCUUUCUAUGUCAGCUGCUGACUUAGAAAGUCCAUCAUCUAAGCUCCACCUCCAUGCCAAGUCGCCAGCUCAAAGACUUGCACAGACCCUUGCACGCUGCCUGCCGAAUUCAUUUCUGCCGUAGUCCAUCGUUGCCGAAUUCUAGGCAAUGUGCUCUCGUUGGCGCGCCCCGCGCCUAGACCUCUAACAAACCACCCCCACUAGAAGAGUCUGACGUCCUCGUCGGAAUAGACUUGAGGUAGUCUUGAACUUGAUCCUCAAAUUGCCACAAGUCAAUAUCUUUCUCCCACGAAACCUCCUCAUUUUCCCUCCAUUUUACCAAGAAUUCUGUCCGCCGAUUCUUUCUAUGUUGGCCAAGUCGACGAUGAUCCAUGAUUUUGACAAUCCCAUCAUCGAAUUGCUUGUGAAUGGUAGGAGGAGCUCGGUGUGACUUGCUUCUCUUUGGAUCUUCGUUGUCUUCAUAAAAAGGCCGUAAGUAACUUACGUGAAAGGUAGGAUGAAGUUUCAACCGUUCGGGCAGCUUCAACCUAUAGGCCACAGCGCCUACCUUUUCGAUGACCUCAAAAGGUCCAUCGUACCUUGGCACCAACCCUCGGUGCUUCGUUGUUCCCACGAUUUUCUUCCAAAUCUGCGGAGUUAACUUGAGCAACACCUUGUCACCCACACUGAAUUCCAGCCAUGUCCGCUUUUGGUUGGCGUAUUUGAGCAUUCUUUUCCUUGCCUUACGCAAGCUAUCUUGUGCUUGCUCAAAUAGCUCCUGCCGCUCCAUCGCAAACCUGUAUGCUGUUGGACUCUUCCCACCCGUUAUCUGCACUGCAAUCUCCGCAGGAGUUUGGGGUUGAGCUCCCAACACUAGCUCAAACGGACUUGCUUCCGUUGCCGAGGAUUUUUGAAGAUUGUAGCAAAACUGCGCACUAUCAAGCAACUCCAACCAGUUUCGUUGCAUCGCUGUCACGUAGUGUCUCAAAUAUUCCUCAAGCAAAACAUUUAUCCUUUCCGUCUGCCCAUCAGUUUGCGGAUGGUUGGCAGUUGAAAACUUCAGCCUUGUUCCCAUCAUGUUGAACAAUGCUGUCCAGAAUCGGCCUGUGAAUCGCACAUCGCGAUCACUCACAAUGUCUGAAGGCACUCCAAAGUACUUCACCACGUUUCGGUAGAAUAAUUCAGCAGCCACUUCGGCUGUACACACCGUCGGGGCAGCAACAAACACCGCAUACUUGGUGAAUCUGUCCACAACAACCAUGAUCAUGUUCAUGCCAUCCACCUUUGGAAAACCAACAAUAAAAUCCAUUGAAACUGACACCCAAGGCUUUUCUGGAAUCGGCAGCGGCUGUAACAAGCCUGCCUCUUGCUGCCGCAAAGUCUUGUCUUGUUGACACACUAGACAAGUCCUGACGUAGAGUUCUACAUCAUCUUCCAUCUUCGACCAAUAAUAAGUCUGCGACAAGAGAGCAACCAUCCUUUCCCGUCCCGGAUGUCCAGCCCACUGCGGAUCAUGAGUUUCCGUCAUUAAGUACUUUCGCAGCUCUCCCUUUGGCACGAAGAUUCGACCCCCCUUUGCAUAGAGUAAGUCCUGCUCCAACCAAUACCUCCGUAUUGUCCCUUCUCGUACAAGCUCAACCAUUUUCUUGUACGCUGCAUCCUCCGUAGCAGCUUGGCGAAGUCGAUCCAGCAUAUCUGACUCCACCUGAAAAAUAGCAAGAAUAGUAGCUAUUACCUCGCGUCUGCUGAGUGCAUCCGCAACUUGAUUGUGGCUCCCUAGUUUGUGCUCCCAUACGAAGUCAUAUUCGGCCAAGAAUUCCUGCCACCGAGCUUGUCGUUGCGACAAUUUCUUUUGCGUCUUGAAAAAUGUAUUGGCAACAUUGUCGGUCUUGACAAUAAAUUUUGGCCCCAGCAGAUAUACUCUCCAUAUGCCAAGGCAGUGCACUACUGCCGUCAUUUCCUUCUCAUGGGUCGAGUAAUUCCGCUCCGCAUCACUUAGCUUCCGACUCUCGAAAGCAAUCGGAUGUCCCUCUUGUACAAGCACUCCACCAAUAGCCCUAUCCGAAGCAUCAGUAUGCACUUCGAAUGGCUUCUCAAAAUCAGGCAGCCCCAAGACUGGAGCUGACGCUACUGCUGUCUUCAGCUUCUCAAAAGCUUGUUGGCAGUCAACUGUCCAUUCCCAACUCCGAUCUUUCUUGAGAAGAUCUAAGAGAGGAGUUGUCUUCUUGCUAUACCCCUCGAUGAACCGUCUGUAGUAGUUUGCAAGCCCCAAAAAGGAUCUCAAUUCCGGGACUGAUUUUGGUGAUGUCUGUCAUAACCCAAUUUUUGAUCAUUUUAUUAUUAUUAUUAUUAUUAUUAUUUUAUUUAUUGAAAAGGAUAAAAAAAAUUGAUAAAAAAAAUAAUAAUAAUGAUGAUGAGAAAACAAGUAAAAUGAAGAAUGAAUUAAUUUUUGGGUUAAGGGCAAUAUGAAUGGAAGUUUUGGGGUUUAAUUAAACUUUUGAAUUAAUCUAAUUAAGUUUGGAAUUAAUUUGUUUAAUUAAGAGUUUAAUUGGAGAAUUGAUAAAAUUUUGAGACUUAAUUAAGCUUGAAAUUAAUUUAAUUCAUCCAAUCAAGGAUUUAAUUGGAGAAUUAAUAAGUUUUGAGACUUAAUUAAGCUUGGAAUUAAUUUAAUUAAUCCAAUUAAGGGUUUAAUUGGAUAAUUGAUAAGUUUUAAGACUUAAUUGGACUUGGAUUUAAUUAAAUUAAUGAAAUCAGGGACUUAAUUGAAGAAAUAUCAAAGUUUGGGGUUAAUUGGGGUUGAAAUUGCAACAGAUUAGAGUCCAAGGACUAUCUUGAAACAGGCGCGGGAAUAUAGGGGCAAUUACAGUUUAAACCAGGGGCUUAAUUACAAAAGUUUCGAAACUUCACGGGUCAAAAUGAAAUAGCCGCCUCAUAUCCCAAAACGGCGUCGUUUUAAAGAACGUUGUUCAUCUUCUUCUUCUUCAAACAGAGACCGUUUCCAGCAGUAAUGAUCAGCGACCUCAGUUAUGGACGUUUUAAUGCUUUCGUCCCUCUGCAUGCCAUCCGUUACCACUGAUCGGACUCUAUAAAAAGAGGAACAAUGAAGAAAUGGCGGCGGAGAGAUACCCAAGGGUUGAAUCACAGAACCGAAAGAGAGAGAGAAGCUAAAACCCAGACUCGAAAUAGAACCAGGGGGAUCAUAGAAACGAAAAAAACACAAACGAAGUAGACACCAAGGGGGACUGAAACAAGAAAAGACAGUGGGCAGAGCAGGAACCGAAACACCAAAACUGGGGAAAGAAUCGGCAGAUCACAGAGCCGAACACAGACUGAAACCAAACCCAAAUUCGAAAGGAUAAGCCAGCACCGUCCUUUUUUCUUCAUCACAAGGACUGAGAAAGUAAGGAAAAAAAAAAGAAUAGCAGACGAACAGAAGAGGAAGUAGAGGAGAGAGUGCCCGUUCGACCAUCAACGCCAUGUCUUCAUCGCCAUCGGCUUUGUCUCCAACAGUUACGGGUCAGUUGCAUCAUUUCCCCUGCUUACAAUUUUAAUUCCCCCAACACUGUGCAUUUGAAAUUUAAUUAACACUGACUGUAGCCAGCGUGCGUGAACAAUUCACGCACGCUGGCGCCUGGUCACUGGCUUGGGCCAGUGACCAGGCUGGGUUGGGCUGGGUCUAGCCCAGCCCAUGUGGGCUGAGCUGGGCCCAGCCCGAAAAAAAAUAAAAAAAUAAAAAAAAUAAAAAGCAGAAAAAUAAAAAAUAAAAAAAAUAAAAAUAAAAAUAAAAAAUGUGUAUGCAUGAAUAAAAAUAAUGUAAAUUUAUUGGUUUAUUCACUGACGCCAGAGUCAGGAAUAAAAAUGUGCAUGCGUAAAAAUAAACUUAUUUUUAUUUAUUUAUUCACUGGCAUUAGAGUAGGAAAUAAAAAAUAUAUUGAUCUAAUUUUUGUCGUAGCUACGAAUUUUUACCAACGCCAGAGUUGGAAUUAUUCGAGCUCGAAUAUUCACUGGCGUCAGAGUCAGAAAUAUUAUAAACAAAUCAUCACAGCAUAAAUUAAUAAAUAUUUAGCAAUUUAAGACAAAACCAACAAUGCAGUCUGCCUUAGGCAGAACGUUUAAGGAGUGAUAAUAUCUUCCCUUUUACAUAACCAAUCCCGAAUCAUAGAAUCUCUAUUGACCAGUUAGGGUUCCUAGUGACCAUAAUACUAGGUGGCGACUCCUCAAACAAGACAUUUUUCCCUAAAAGAAUCGGAUGUCAGAAAUCUGUUCUUUUUCCAUAAUUCAAGUGAAUCAUUAUUUUUUGUGGGCCGCCGUGAUGUCGGGUGCGACAAUGUCCAUUCGACGAUGGCUUGGAUCUUUCGUGGAUCCAUCUUCACCUGUCCUUCUCCAAUUAUUUUUCCCUCUUUACAUACAGUUCAUGUUCUCUCAAUCUACUUAAGACUUUAGAAAGAUGAGUUACAUGUUCUUCGAUUCCUCUACUAUAGAUUACAAUGUCAUCUAAGUAGACUGCAACAAAAUUAUCUAAGAAAUCAUAUAACACAUCAUUCAUUAAAUUACAAAACGUUGCUGGAGCAUUUGUUAAGCCAAAUGGCAUAACUAGAAACUCGUAUGAACCAUACCUCGUCACACAAGUCAUCUUAUGCUCAUCUCCGUCAGCAACUCUCACUUGCCAAUACCCCGAUCGCAAGUCCAGCUUCGUAAAGACAGAAGCGCCACAUAAUCUGUCCAUCAAAUCCUGAAUCAAAGGAACAUGAUAUUUGUUUUUGAUGGUUACCUUGUUGAGUGCCCGGUAGUCCACACACAUGCGAAGGCUCCCAUCCGCCUUCUUCUGAAACAACACCGGAGCACCAUACGGAGCCUUGGAAGGUCGAACGAAUCCCGACUCAAUCAAUUCUUCCAAUUGCUUCCUCAAUUCUGCCAAUUCUCUUGGCGACAUUCGGUAAGGAGCUUGAGAUGGUGGCUUUGCCCCCGGCACCAGCUCAAUUCGAUGAUCAACAGCCCUCUUAGGCGGGAGUUUCUUUGGUAGCUGAGGUGGCAUAACAUCUUCGAAUUGAUGCAGCACGCUAGCAAUCUCGUUCGGCACCUCCCCACAAUAAUCAGUUCUCUCCUCCACUAUUGUUGCUAGAAACACAUCCCCUCCUUUCCGCAAUGCUUUAUCGAUUGCAAUGGCCGAUAUUAAGCUCUUCUUUCCUUUCGCAACAUUCGCAACUGCGACGUUGCAGCAGGGAACAAAACAUGGGCAUCCCUCACUCGCAAUCAUAAUCCCAUUGAGAUACGGCAUUAAAACAAUCUUGGCUUUCCGUAGAAAAUCAAGGCAAAGGAUAAUAUCAUAAUCAUCAAGAGUUAUGACAAGCACAUCAUGCUUACCUCUCCACCGAUCCAGCACUAUCAGCACAUCAUAAGACAUCCCAGCAAUUUUCUGCGCCUUUGAGUUCACUGCCUUCAUGGAUGUCUGGCUAUCACUCAGCCGCAAGCCGAGUUCCUUCACCAGCCGAUCUGCCACAAAUGUGUGGGUUGCGCCUGAAUCCAGCAUAGCAUUUAUAUUAUUGCCGUUUAUCUCAAUCUUUACAUACAUGAGGCUGUCCGUUGCCCCUGGCUUCCCUUUUCGUAAGGUCUCAAUCCUUGCCAAGUCUUUCUCAACAUGGCAGUUUUCGGCAGCCGCAUCCUCUGAUUCUGCUACCAAGCAAUUUAACACACACAUGGGAUUGACGUGCGUAAGCAUCCCCUCUUCAUCAUCGCUAUUCCCAGCCCGAAUAGCAUUCAGCUUCUCCCUCUUUGGGCAUUCCCUCGCAAAGUGAGGACCAUCACAAAUGAAGCAUGUAAGGUUCGGUUUAGUACCAUUACCUGGUGUGCUCGUAAAUUUUGACUUGCCUUUCUCCGCGGCAGUAGCCUUUCCUGCACCCCCACCGAACUUCUUCUUUGGCCUUUCCUCCUUGCUCUUUCCCUUUGACUUGAAGGAGGCUGAUUUAUAGCUCUCUCUCGUAGGAGCUUUAUAAUCUACCAAAUUGUCCGCGGCAGCAAUAGCAGAAGACAGAUCCUUCACAUUCUGUCGUCGUAGCUCUGCUUGCGCCCAAGGUUGCAAUCCGGACAUAAAAUUGAACAACCUGUCCUCCUCGGACAUGUUCUCGAUGUCGAGAAUUAAAGAACUGAAAGACUUAACAUACUCACGAACUGACCUGUCCUGUUUGAGUCUUUUCAAUUCGUCUCAUGCAAUCCACGAAGUGUUGUUUGGGAGGAACUGCUCCUUUAGCUCCUUCUUGAGACGAUCCCAUGUCUCAAUCUUUGGACGUCCCGCACUUAGAUCAUCUUUGGUUCUCGUCCGCCACCAAAGCUUUGCGUCACCCGUGAGAUACAUCACGGUGAGAUCAACUUGUUCCGCUGCGCCAAUCCUCGCAACACUGAAGUAUUGCUCCAUGUCCCAUAAGAAAUUUUCCAGCUCUUUGGAACUUCUUGCCCCACCAAAGCACUUUGGUUCGGGCAACUUAGGCUUAGAAGAACUUACCCCAAGAGGAGUGUUUGUGACUGCCCUCUUCAGAACAGCAAUCAUCUCUUCGGCAGCAGCCAAUCGUUCACUCGAUUCUGCCGCAAGCGAGAUGUACAAGCUCUCAGCGCUUUCAGCGCUAUCCAUCGCUUCCUUCAAGCGAUCCAAGACAGUGCGUUCUUCCUCUUCGUCAUCUGGCCCUAUCAAAGUCUCCAGACGCGUCAACCGUUCCCGAAUGGCUUCCAUGGCUUCGGGCUGCACGUUGUUGAGUCAACCGUGCUCUGAUACCAAUUGUCACGGGGUUAAAUUUUUCGCCUCGCAAAUAAACCCGUGCGGCAGCCUAGUCCCGCUAGACUCAGCCUUGCUUUACCCUUUCACUUGUGUUUUCCUACGACUAUGUGUUUCGCUCACUCAAGGAGGUUCUCACAAUCGUCUCGUCGUAGACAAUGCACAAACACAAGCAAGCAUAAGCAAUCACACCGAACUUUUACAAGAAUCCCUCUCAACCUUUAUUUAUCUCAUCAACAAAGGAAAUACACAAAAAUAGUGUGUUCUAUGCACAAAUUCGCAUGCUACACAGCAGAGGCUUGGCAGCCUAUUUAUAGCCAAAUGUGAGCUUCCAUUCUCACCUAGCAUCCCCUAAUUUCGGGGCAUAGUGGAGCACUAUCUCACCUAACAUGGACUAGUGGAGCACUACCUUCCCCCCAUGAUCCCCAUUUUCCAUGGACUAAUGGAGUAUUAUCCCCACCAUUAUCUUUGGUUGGUGAACCACUUUCUCCACCAAUAUUCGGUGGGUUGGUGAACCACUUUCUCCACCAAUAUUCGGCCCCUCCACCCAUGUUCUGCCUGCCCUCAUGGCAGUCCCAUUUGUCUGCCUUGCUAUGUCAACUGCUGACUUAGAAAGUCCAUCAUCUAAGCCCCACGUCCAUGCCAAGUCGCCAGCUCAAAGACUUGCACAGACCCUUGCACGCUGCCUGCCGAAUUCGUUUCUGCCGCAGUCCAUCGCUGCCGAAUUCUAGGCAAUGUGCUCUCAUUGGCGCGCCCCGCGCCUAGACCUCUAACACCAAGAGUCUUUCAUGGUUGCCUUGAAUUGAUUGACAGGAAGAAGUCUGAAUGUUUUUAGAAAGAAGCAGCCUUCAAGCUUUUCAAAACCAAUCUCUGUAUCUAUUAACAAAAACUCUAAAUCACGAGUACUAGACACAAUUAAUUAUGUUUUUUGUAAUUAUUAGAUAAUUGAAAUCAUCACUAACUCCUUUGUUCAUUUUCAUCUUUUUUUAUUACCCUUAGCAUGAUACACAGAAAAGAAGAAGGGUUCAAGAGAGAACAAUAAUGGAGGGGAAUCAAAAUCUUUGUUUGAUUUUAUGUUGUGUUUUUGGUACAUUGAUCAACAAUAGCAUGGAAGAGCUUGAUAGCAAUAACCUUUUCGACCUCAAUAAUUAAUGUUAACGCGUGGAUCCAGUUGUUGUGGAAACUUUGCAAAGGAUCUGCAGGAAGAAAAAUGAAAUUUGCUUGGUUGUUUGGUUUGUCUGUCCAGUACCUGAGAAAAAACAAAAGGAAAGCACUAUUCUUAUAAAUAAUGCAGGGGUAUACUAGAUUUUUCUCAUGAGAUCACAAUAAUUUAAUGAAAAGUAAACAAAAUAAAUUAUAAAAUUUAAUUUUUAAUUAAAUCUAUAUUAAAAGAUAAAAUUAAAAAAAAAAACUAAUUAAAAAAAAAUCUAAAUCAACUGAAUUAACUUGUUAAACCUAAGAUCCGUAUCAUGAGAAUGUGAUAACUAAAUAUAAAAAAAAUUUAAUAUUAAUGAACUAAAUUGAACAAACAAAAUUAAUUAUAAAGAAAAAAGCAAAAAUAAAAACACUAUAACCGAAGAAGAUCAGUUUUAGUUAUCAAUCGAAUUUUAGCAAAAUCUAGGAUCCAAGAAUUGGCCUCUGUAACAUAGUAUGUAUUCCGAGCCAAUCUGGGCUAGGACUUGAAACAAAUGUUGUAUACUGUUUGCACUGUCACUUUGCUUACCCUCUUAGGUUUUUAUUGAGAUUAGGAUUCUAUUGUAGCUCUUUUUUCUCCUUUUAUUAUAAUAAAAUAAUAUCUAUGGAUUAAUUUUGGUAUAAUUUAAGAAAGUAAGUCCUUUAAUCAAAUUUUAGAUUGACCAUCCACAAUGUGUUAAAAGUAAAUGUUAAUUUAUAAAAUAAUAUCCUUACUGCGCUAUAAAGCUGAUAUUGCUGUUGAUAGCUUUUGCUGGGUUGAUCUCUUUGGUUUAUCUCUAUCAUUCUGGGCAAAAGAUGAUUUUCACGCAGUUAUAGCUCGUUAUGGCUGUUUGAUUGGAAUUGAUAAUGCUAAAAGCACUUUUACAAAUUUGACGGCAGCAAGGGAAGGGUGUUAUUCUGCAGAACUCGGAAGGAGAUUAGUAGAUAUUGACCAUGUUGUUUCAUUGUCAGGGAAAGCACUUAUUUCUUUAAUGUAUGUUUCCGGAGAUUAUUGCGGUGGGAUAUGUUUUGGCAGCUAAUGCAAUUCACAAUGACCUUGGUCCUUGAGAUCUUUACCUAUUUUGGUUUUGGUCACCAAACUUCAUUUGUUUUCAAUUACAUCCUUGCAAGUUCUACUAACACGGUUCUAUUUGUUGUUAUCCACUUCGAUUUUCAUGUUCUUGCAUUUAUCAUAUAUCUUUAAAUAUUCCUACAUUGAAUUAGAAAUCAAUUUUUUUUAACCCUCCUAACCCAGUUGCUAUUAUGGCUAGUUCUCCACCUGCAUGUUCUUCCUUCUGAAGCGUGGCAUCGGUCUUUAGAUACACUUACUUAGUCCCUGUUAUUUAUAAAGCUUCUAAUUUAGUUCAAGUCAAUAAAAGCUUAGCAGUUUGAUACAGAAGCUCAUGGCCAAGUAAGAGAUGUUUGUUUUGGAUGUAAUAAAUAUUCAUAUUGGAACAUAAUAUUCAUCUCUCAAAUCCCUAAUCCAGUAGAUCAUAUAAAUAAUCGUUACCUUUUAUGAAUAUGAUUAUUGCAUUGCUAAUAAUUUGCAAGAAAGAUGAUGAACAUUUUUUAGUGAAUUAAGUUCAAUUAUAGAAAAUCCUGUACAAAUUAUACAAAAUUCUGCUUUAAGUUCUUGGAACCUCGCUUUGGGAUUAAUUAGUGAGAAUAAGAAAAUUCUCUGUGAAUUAUACAAAAUUUAUUAGUAGUCAUCGAUAUAAUAUUUAUUAUAGGUUAUCAAUAUUAAAUAAUGACUUAUUUUCUAAUAUAAACUAUUGAACGGGAUUUGUAUAUAAAAAUAAUUAAAUUCAGAUUUUUCAAUUAUCUUUAAACAUAUUACAGUUUUAAUCGGUGAACGGUCUAUCAUAUAAAUUAUAAAAAAAAUAUUUAUUAUAUAUAUAUAUAGUAAUAACAAAUUAAAUGAUAGUAACGUUAUUGUAAAGAAUAUGUUAUACUCAUUGUCAAAUUGGAUGAGUUACGUGGAGAAGGAUGCUCAUUGUCAAACUGCUAUUCCUAUCACAUUAUUAUAAAGAAUAAAAGCAACGGAAGAAUAUUGUUUGAAUAUAAACGAAUAGCAGCGACUGUGGUCCACUUGGGAAUUGAGACUAUGCAUAUAUUCAGUGCAUCGUAUUCGGUUCCUUCCCGGUGAGAUGCCAAAUUGGUUGAGCAGUGGAGAAUAAAAGCAACGGUUGGGAUUCAUUUGAUCUCGUACACCUUAAAGAAUGUAGGGUCCAUGCAAUUAAAGAAUGUACGUUGUCGAGGUACUAUUUCUUUUAAUAUUUCUUGCACAAGAAACACACAAUUAGCACUCCAAAUUAAUAUUUUUUAUAUAUAUAUAUAUAAUUAUACUCCGUCAGCAACUACCUCGAAAUUACCUCAAUACCAAUACACGCUUGAGAAAUUUCCUUGCUUUUUUUUCCUGUAUGUGUUACAUUUUUAUCUUUUAUAAUUAUAAUUAUUGCAUUGCUAAUAAUUUACAAGAAAUAAUAUUCUUUAUCUGAAAAGGGCUUGAGAAAACCUAAGCAUUCCAAGUAUGAAGUGUUUUAUUGUUUUAUUGCUAUAAAGUUUUUCACACUUACAAUAUAGAAAGAGAAAAAUUAAAAAAGAAAAAGAAAAAAAAGAAAGAGCAAAAGGAAACACUAAUGCAGUAUGAGAGUGAGAAUGAGAGAGAGGUAAUUUCGACUAUACAUAGAACUCGACUGGACAGAAGACUUAAAGAUAAAAUAGCUUUGAUUUACAACCAUGGCUUCAAGGGCCUGGAAUAAAACCAGGUACAAGUUUGUUUCUAUCUAAGAAAGCAAGAAGCUCCCACGGUGCACGCUCUCAACAAACAAGUAGGAAUUGAAUUCAAAGGAAUAAAUCAUUAAAUGCGGAGUUGGUGUUCUCCUGUUUGUGGUUCUGAUAAAUGUAAGAACGGACAGAGAGAUGAAAUAGGAAAGAUCCAUGUAUCUAUUAGUUGGCAGCAGUUAUCAUUCGGCCCUUGCCGCCCACGAAAUCCCUUUGUCCUGCUGUUAAUUUCUUAAUGACGCGUAUCAGGUGUUUGAUAAAAUUCCUCUGCUGGAAAAAAAAAAAAACCAUGUUUAGAAUGCUUUAGUCCUUUUCGAGUGGAAAGUGGUGUGAAAGUGGGAAGUACUGUGAGAGCUUUAUGCCACUUUCUAUCUUAGAUGUAAUUGCUUUGGCAAAAAGAAACAAAUAAAAGUUAGUGUUCGCACUGCUUUAGCCCAAGAGUCUUUCGUGAUCGGCUCUGUUUAUUUGCAGGAAAGUAAAUUUUUUUUGAAAAGUAAAUUUUAAAAAAAAUAAAUUUCAAAAAUGUAUUUUUCAAUGAAAAAAAAAAAAGAACAUAAAAAAAAAUAAAAUAUGUUGGUAAUAAAUAUAAAAGAUGGAUGAAAAUAUUAAAAAAUAAGAAAGAGAUAUAGAAUCUCUUUGUAAAUUUUCUACAAACUUAAUUACAAUUAUAUUAUAAUUUCUUUCCUAAAAUUAUUCAAAAUAUAGUAUUAGAAUUAUAUAAUACUCGGUUUUAAUAUAUAAUUAAAGAGUCUUUCCUAAAUCAAAUAAUAAAAAUAUCGUAUAACUCUUUUGGAUGAAUUGUUAAGUAGGGACUGUUUGGGGUCCUGACAAGGCGGAUUUUAUUUGAAUAUAUUAUUUGAUUAGUGUUGACUCUACUAUUGCUGCAUUGACGGGAAAUUUCAGUAUUCCAUAUCCUUGCUUUACUCUGCAGCUGACUUCUCUGUCCCAUUGCUACCAUUUCAUAGCCAACUCUUUGUUAUAUUUAACUUACUCUUCUUUGCUUCUUGUUCGUAACGAUAACUUGAAAGCCUUACGUUCAGAUAGAUAAUCAUUGACCAGUUCAUCCUAUAUCAUUCUAUUUAAUUUAGAAAUGCAGAAAGAAAAACGCAAGCAAUCCAAAGAUGAAGAAAUCGAUUCAUCCUCGCGAAAGAGAAGAAAAGCUGACCUCAGUAAGCCUAUUUAGAGAUUACAAUUAACCUCAUUUCAAUAUCAUAGCUUUGGAAUUUCAUAGCUAAGUCUUUGUUAUAUUGCUCCAUUGGUAAUUGACUGUGCCUUGAUUUCUGCAGCUGCCAUGAUAGAGCCGGAGUCUUCUCGAUCUAGACCAGAAGGGGCCUAUGAUGUCUUCUUGAGUUUUAGAGGAGAAGACACUCGCAAGUCAUUUACAGAUCAUCUAUACACUGCCUUGGUCCAAGCAGGAAUCCACACUUUUCGAGAUGAUGAUGAACUUCCGAGAGGAGAAGAAAUCUCCCAUCAUCUCCUCAGGACGAUUCAAGAAUCAAAGAUAUCCAUAGUUGUCUUCUCAAAAGGAUAUGCUUCUUCUAGAUGGUGUCUCAAUGAACUUGUAGAGAUUCUUAAGUGCAAAAAUAGGAAAACCGGUCAGAUUGUUCUUCCUAUAUUCUAUGACAUUGAUCCUUCAUAUGUGAGAAAACAGAAUGGCAGUUUUGCAGAAGCAUUUGUUAAACAUGAAGAGCGUUUUGAAGAGAAGUUGGUGAAGGAGUGGAGAAAAGCUCUUGAGGAGGCUGGAAAUCUAUCUGGAUGGAAUCUCAAUGAUAUGGCAAAUGGGUAUGCCUUUUCUCUCUAAAUUUCACUUGCAGACGUUUAUGGAGUAAUUUUACAUUACAUUUUUCAAUGUGAAGUAACAAAAUAUUUCUUUUUAGCAUACUUAAUUGACUUGCUAUCGAUGACUUGCUUUUUUUCUGUGAGCAGGCAUGAAGCAAAAUUUAUCAAAGGGAUUAUCAAGGAUGUGUUGAAUAAAUUAGAUCCCAAGUACUUAUAUGUUCCUGAACACCUAGUAGGUAUGGAUCAGCUUGCUCACGAUAUUUUGUACUUUCUAAGUACUGCAACAGAUGAUGUACGCAUUGUGGGCAUACAUGGGAUGCCAGGAAUAGGAAAGACAACUAUAGCAAAAGUUGUAUUUAAUCAACUCUGCAAUGGAUUCGAGGGAAGCUGUUUUCUUUCGAAUAUCAAUGAAACAUCAAAACAAUUUAAUGGUCUGGCUCUUUUACAAAAGCAACUUCUUCAUGAUAUUUUAAAACAAGAUGCUGCGAACAUCAAUUGUGAUGAUAGAGGAAAGGUUCUGAUCAAAGAGCGACUUUGUUGUAAAAGAGUUCUUGUUGUUGCUGAUGAUGUUGCUCAUCAAGACCAGCUAAUAGCUUUGAUGGGAGAUCGAAGUUGGUUUGGUCCCGGAAGUAGAGUAAUUAUUACAACAAGAGAUUCAAAUCUUCUUCGUGAAGCAGAUCAAACAUAUCAGAUCGAAGAAUUGAAACCAGAUGAGUCCCUUAAGCUUUUCAGCAGGCAUGCCUUUAAGGACUCCAAGCCAGGAAAAUAUUAUAUUGAGCUUUCAAAGAAAGUCGUUGGUUACUGUGGAGGACUUCCUUUAGCUCUUGAGGUUAUAGGAGCUCUUCUGUACAGGAAAAACAGAGGUAGAUGGGAAAGUGAAAUUGACAACUUGAGCAGAAUUCCAAACAACGAUAUUCAAGGAAAGCUUCUAAUAAGUUAUCACGCACUUGAUGAUGAACUACAAAGGGCAUUCCUUGAUAUUGCAUGCUUCUUUAUUGGUUUAGAGAGAGAAUACGUCGCAAAAGUGCUAGGAGCCCGUUGCCGUUACAAUCCAGAAGUUGUUUUGGAAACUCUCUGUGAAAGGUCUCUGAUUCAAUUUCAUAUGUGUAUAAUUAAAGAUGAAAGGCAGUUAUUUGAAAGGAUGGUAACCAUGCAUGAUCUAUUACGAGACAUGGGAAGGGAGGUCGUUCGUGAAUCGUCUCCAAAAGAACCUGGAAAGAGGACCAGAAUUUGGAAUCAAGAGGAUGCAUGGAAUGUACUUGAGCAGCAGAAGGUAAGAGCUCAAUGCAUACAUGAAAGCAUAGUCAUGCGUAUUUUCUAGUCAAACUUAUUACAAAUAAUUGAAUGAAAGUUGUAUUUUUUUUUUUUUUAGGGUACGGAUGUUGUAGAGGGUCUUGCACUGGAUGUCAGAGCAUCAGAAGCUAAAUCACUUAGCACAGGAUCAUUUGCAGAAAUGAAAUGCUUAAAUUUACUCCAAAUCAAUGGAGUACAUCUCACCGGAUCCUUCAAACUGCUUUCUAAAGAGUUGAUGUGGAUUUGUUGGCAUGAAUGUCCUUUGAAAUAUUUUUCAUCUGAUUUUACCUUGGACAAUCUAGUUGUUCUUGAUAUGCAAUACAGUAACCUCAAAGAACUAUGGAAGGGAAAAAAGGUACGAAACAUGCUACAAUCACUAAAAUUUUUCCAGUAUGUAAUUUAUAUUUACAUGUUAUGACUUUCUAUUAUUAAUUUUCAUUAUUUUCCUCUCUAUUAUAACAGAUUCUUGACAAGCUAAAAAUCCUUAAUCUCAGUCAUUCUCAGCACCUUAUUAAAACACCAGACUUGCACAGUUCAAGUCUAGAGAAACUAAUUCUGAAAGGUUGCUCGAGUUUAGUUAAGGUGCAUCAAUCAAUUGAAAAUUUGACGAGCCUUGUUUUCUUGAAUCUAGAGGGAUGUUGGAGGCUGAAGAAUCUCCCUGAAAGCAUUGGUAAUCUAAAGUCUCUUGAAACUUUGAAUAUUUCUGGGUGUUCACAACUUGAGAAAUUACCAGAACGCAUGGGUGAUAUGAAUCCUUAACUCAGCUGCUAGCUGAUGGGAUUGAAAAUGAGCAAUUUCUCUCUUCAAUUGGACAAUUAAAGCAUGUCAGAAGGUUAUCAUUGUGUGGAUAUAGUUCGGCUCCACCAAGUUCUUCUUUGAUUUCAGCAGGUGUUUUGAAUUGGAAACGUUUGCUGCCAACACCUUUCAUUGAAUGGAUAUCAAUGAAACAUCUUAACCUUUCUAAUUGUGGUUUAACUGAUCGCGCAAUUAACUGUGUUGAUUUCAGUGGUUUGUCUGCUCUAAAGUGUUUGGAUCUAGAUGGAAACAAAUUCUCUAGCCUACCUUUUGGGAUCGGUUUCCUUCCCAAGCUAGAGAUCUUGUCUGUUAAGGAAUGCAAAUAUCUUGUAUCAAUUCCAGAUCUUCCCUCAAGUUUAAACUAUUUGUUUGCAGUUCAUUGCAAAUCAUUGAAAAGAGUAAGAAUACCAAUCGAGCAAGAAGACCUAUGCAUAGAACUAGAUGGAAGUCAUUCGUUAGAAGAGAUUCAGGGCAUCGAAGGUCUAAGUAAUAGUUUCUGGUAUAUUUGUGUUCAUGAUCACCGCAGUCAUUCACCAAAUAAAUUACAGAAGAGCGUUGUUGAGGUACUAUUUCUUUCAAUCUCUCUUGCACAAAAAUAACACACACAAUUGGCACAUACAUUGAUUAAUAUCUAAAAUCUCAGCAUUCCUUGAAAUCAAUAUGUAUAUAGGCAAUAAUCAUUAUUAUUAUUAUUUUAUUUUAAAAAACAAAUAUCAUCUUUAAUAAUAUUUUUUAUUUUUCUUAUUUAAUCUAAAAAAAUAAAUAUUAUAUUUAAUAAUAUUUUUUAUUAAAUAUUUAAAGUCUGAUUGGUUUUAUUUUUUAUUUCUUGAUUUUAUGAUAAUAUAUUUAUACAGGCAAUGUGCAACGGUCGUCACCGGUAUCGUAUUGACCCCUUUCCUGGUGAGAUGCCAAAUUGGAUGAGCUACAGUGGAGAAGGAUGCUCAUUGUCAUUCCAUAUACCUCCAGUCUUCCAUGGCUUAGUUCUUUGGGUUGUCAAUCGACCACUUGAGAAGGAAGAUUAUUAUUACUACAACACUUACAUUAUUAUUAUUAUAAGAAAUAAAAGCAACGGUAUUCAAUUGUUUGAAGAUAAGCUACCAACAUUUGAGGGAUGGUUAAGAUACAUGAGUAGAAGUGAAAUGACAAUGGAAGAUUACUGUGCAGAUGACGAAUUGGAACUAUCCAUUUAUUCACAGCAAUGGCUCAACGAUCAUUCAUACCAACCCGCAGACAUUAAAGAAUGUGGGGUCCAUGUGAUUGCAGGGAAGUCAGAUUCAUUUGAAGAGUUGGCAGUGGGAAGAGAUACAAUGAUGCCUUCACCACCUCCAUAUCAUCUGCUUCCGCAUCCCACUUGUGGUUCGAUUACAGCGUCUACACUUAAGCAAUGGAGUGACUAUUUAUUUGCGGAGCUGCAAGGACAUAGCCUCUAUUUAAUACUUGAUGGUAAGAACAAAUAUUUCAUUUAGUUAUUUUUAUUCUAUUAUAUUUAAUUUAUGAGAUUAAAUAUUAUCUUUAAUGAUUUUAUUAUUAUUAUUUAAUAUAAAAAAUUAAAUAUCAUCUUUAAUAAAAAAAAUAUUAAAUAUUUAAGGCUUUUUGGUAAGAAUACAUAUUUCCUUUAGUUAUUUCGAUUCUAUUCUAUUUAAUUUAAGAGAUUAAAUAUCAUCUUUAAUUCUUACAUUUUUCUUAUUUAAUCUAAAAAAUUAAAUAUUAUCUUUAACAAUAUUUUUUAUUAAAUAUUUAGAGUCUGCUUGGUUUUAUUUUUUUUCUUGAUUUUAUGAUAAUAUUUUUCUUAUUUAAUAUAAAAAAUAAAUAUUAUCUUUAAUAAUUAGAUGAAAACAAAAAGCCAACAAUCACUAACAUAUUUUAUUAAAAUCACUUUAGUUUAUUUAGAAAAUAUUGAAAACUGAUUUUUGUUUUCUUACAUUAAAAUAAAAAAAAUUGAAUAAUGUUUUUAUAUUUUAUUUCAAACUUUAUAUUUUAAAACAAAAAUGAAAAAGAUGUGAUAUUGACCUUUAUUAUUAUAAAGUAAGUUUUUUUAUUAAAAGUGAUGGGAAUUUGUUCGUAAUAACAAAGUGCAUGUACAAUCUUGCACAUUUAACUUUCUUUUUAAAUUUGAUGGUUUUUUAGGACGUGAAUGGCGUUGGCCGAUGUGAGAGUACAAGAUCAUUUUAUAUAGAGAUGUUUGAAGUUGCUCCAAAUCAGUACACGAUACUUUCAUCUGACAUGUUGAUAUGUAUUUGUUGGCUUGAAGAUGAUUUUCCAAGCUUGGAAGUUUUAUUGAAUUCUCUUUGAAAUCUUUUCCAUCCGCUGGACAAUCUAGUUGUUAAUUAUUAUGCCUGAUGUAAUUUAUAUUUUCAAGUUACAAAUUUUGAUGAAUAUUGUUUCAUUUUUUCCCUCACUUCAAAAGAUGAAAAUCCUUGAUGUUAGUUAGAAAUAAAUUGGUUUUAUAGAAAGAGAUUAUUGAUUGGAAUAUUGUUUACUAACCCAUUUUAAAGUUCACUAUAUAAAUACUAGAAAAAUAUUUUAUUUUUUCAAUAUGAAAUUAAAAAAAUCCUUUUGGUUUAAAUACAUUAAUUUUAAAAAAUAAGAUAAUAUCUUUUUAAUAUGAGAUAAAAAGACAUUUUAAAAUAAUCUUUUAAACUUUAUUAUAUGCAACAUGUAUAACCUAUAUUCAUAUGAAUUGUUUCUUUAAUUUUUUGCAUAUGAAAUGUUAAAAAUCAAAUAUAUUUUUUUUAUUUUUUCGAGUUGACCUGGAUCAAUUUGUGUAACUCAAAACUCUAUUUUUUUGUCUGGUCAAUUUUAGGUUGGGUUGUAAAUUUAUUGAAAAAAACAUAAUUUUAUAUUUCUAUAAAAAUCAAAGGUAAAGAAUUAAAUUAUGACAUAUAUCACUAAUUAUUGAUAUACUCUUAUUACAAACACGAAAUUUUAUGUCACUUCAUGAUACCCAUGUUUUCAAUGCUUUACACUGCUUUAAAAAAUUGUUACAGUAAUAGCACAGAGAGGAACGGUUCAAGAAAAAACAAUAAUGGAGUUGAAGCAAAAUCACUGUUUGAUUUUUUUCUUUUUUGUGUUUUGAUUAGUACUUAAAAGUGCAUGUUUAUCAAGGGUUUAUAUCAUCAUUUCGCACUUAAAGUAUCAAUAACUCCUUAACUAAAGCAUGUUUUAUAAUAACAAGUCUAAUACUAUAAAAUGCCCUAAUAUAUGGUAAAUGUUCAUCUUAAAUGCAGGCCUAUCACAUAAAUCAAAGGAUUGAUUGAUGAAUUCAACUACUGAAAUUUGUGAAGAUAAAGAGAGGGUGAAACUUAGAAAAGAGAUGUUGGUGCAGUCCAAACUGGAACACUGUUCGGUAAUUGGGUCAUAUCUCGAGUUCUAGAUGUCCAAAUGAUCUCAAAUUUUUACACAGAUUCAGUAAGACAUAGGCCUACAACUUUCAUGUUUUCAUCAAGAUCUAAGAAGGCCGUUUUCAAGUCCAAAUUAUAGCAACAACGGAGAAGUCCGAAUCUGUCCUGCAGCCCGAACACUGUUCAGUGUUUGGCCCAUAUCUGGAGUUCUAGAAGUCCAAAUGACCUCAUUUUUUUUCCUGGAAGAAUUUCCUACAACUUUCAUGUUUCAGUGGACCCAGUUCGAUGGUAGCAUUUUUGUUUUAUUCAGACAAGAAGAUAAGGAUUUUCACAAGUCAAAAGUUGGCCACCCACUCAACAAUUAGUCAUCAAAUCAAUAAUUCCGAAUUUUGGCCUAUAAAAGGAGGCAUUUGCCAUGUAUUUGGGGCUUGGUUGUUCAGAUCAAGUUCAUGCUCUUUAUUUCUCUCUUUAUAUUUUUUGUAAUUUUAAGUUUUGCUUUCAUUAAUAUCUUGUUUAUGCUUUUCAUUUCCUUUCCUUUCUUAGUUAACUUGUAUUUUUUUAUGUUCUUGUUUUGUUUAUUUAUGUUUCUCUUCUUCAUUAUGUUUAGCUAAGUUUAUUAUGUCAAGGUGAAAAGGUUACACUAAUGGUGUAAGAAUAAGUAUGUGUAAACUCAACAUGGACCUUAAUGUUUAAUAUUAACAUGUCUUAUCUUUUUAUCUUACUAAUUCUUAAUACCUUGCUUGUUAAAUGGUUAAUCUAGAUUUGUGUUGUAUAACACUUGGUACAACAAAUGCUUGGCACUCUCAUAGCCCAACCGUAUGGUAUUACCUACACCUGGGCUAUGAAAGGAACUUGAUUUGUUGUUAACAUCAGUUAAUCAUGAAUUCCUGACAAUAUUUAAAAGUUUGGUGUUAUGUAAAUAAGAUAAUUAAUAUGAUCAUGUUAAUAAUUUAUAAUGAGCUAUUAAUGACAAAUCAUCCGAUUGGAACCUCCUUUGUGUGUGGUUUCCAAAUUGAGUAAUAAGAGUUUAUACUAUACUUGUUUGAAAUACCAUUGGUGGAUCCUCUAACCUUGACAUUUGUUUUUAUCAUUGUUUAAUCCUUACAUUAAUCUUCCAUCUCAAAGUUCUCAUUAAUUUCUUCUCUUCUUCUUUUUUUUUCUUUUUUUUUAUUAUAUUAUAUUAUAUUAUAUUACUACUACUACUACUACUAGUAUUAUUAUUAUUAUUAUUAUUACUAUUACUACUACUACUAUUGCUAUUAUUAUUAUUGCUAUUAUUAUUUCUAUUAUUAUUAUUAUUAUUAUUAUUAUUAUUAUUUACAUUAUGUUUAUAUUAUAUAAUAUAUAUUUUUUUAUCUUUUUAUAAACUCAGUAUAUAGGCUGGAAACCUGUGACCCGAUCUUUUAGAUCAUUCUCAGGUGUAAUAACGCCACGUACUGAGUAUUACUAUUACUAUUACUAUUAUUAUUACUAUUAUUGCUAUUAUUGUUAUUAUUAUUGUUAAUUGUUGUUGUUAUUGUUGUUAUUAUUAUUAUUAUUGUUGUUGUUGUUAUUAUUGUUGUUGUAUUAUUGUUAUUUAUAAUUUGUACAAUUAACCUCUAUGUGGUUCGACCCCGGUCUUGCCGGGUUAUUUAUUACUUCGACACUCCUGCACUUGAGAGAAGACAUCAAUCUUUUGGUCGUGUCAUGUUUUGGGUACAUUGGUCAACAAUAGCUUGGAAGAGUUUGGAAUCAGUAACACGUGGACCCAGUUGUUGUGGAAACUUUGCAGAGGAUCUACACUCUGCAGGAAGAAAAAUGAUUUUAAUGGAUGUACUGUACAUCAUUUGAAUUUAUUAAAAGUAACAAGAUAUAUACAAUUAGAUGCUAUUUUUCGAUCAUAGAAGUAGCAUGAUUUUAAUAUACACCUUCUUUCAACGUUUUACACUGCUUUAGUCGUAAAAAAAAAAAAAAAAACUAUUAGAUGCUAUAAAACAAGAUAUAUACAAUUUAAUUUGAGAGUGCAAUAGAUAUUAUAUUUCAAAAUAUUUUUGAAAUAUAUUAAAAUAUUACUUUUUUUAAAAAAAUAAUUUUAAUAUCAUAUAUUAGAACAAUAAAUAAUAAUAAUAACUUAAAACAAUAAAAAAUUUUAAAAUCUUUUAAAAAUAUAAUUUUACUGACUCCAAAACACACCCAUGCUCCCUCAGCAACCACCACGAAAUUACCACUCUAAAUUACAGCUCAAUAAUUUAUUUUAGCAAUUAUUGCUUGCUCUUUGACAGUUAUUGCUUUGUUGCAAGAAACUUUCUCAAUUUCCUUCUAUUUUCUUUUUAUCAUGGAAACUUUAAGUCACAUUUGCGCCGACCACAGAAUUACCGAUAAGUAAAUUUCAAUGCGUAAUUGUGUAGGUUUCAAUUAAAAAUGCUUUAAUUUGAAAAAUUAUGUUAACAAUAAUAUAAAUUAAUUUUUCUUCAUAAAAAAGUAAUUGGGUAUUAAUUUAGGCUAUAAAUUAAGAUAUAAUAAUAAUAAUAAUAAUAAUAAGAGUUCGAGGGUAUUCAUUUUAUUAUUUGUUAGGUAACUAUAUAAUCUAAUUUGUUGAUGUGGAAAAUAGCACAAAGUUUUUGGGCAUGGCUAUUGGUGAGAAGCAAAAGCAGUAGCAGUCCAUGAGGACCAUCACCAUCGUAUCCACUAUGAGAGCUUUUGUAAACCCCGUGGACCCAGUUGUUGUGGAAACUUUGCAAAGGAUCUGCAGGAAGAAAAAUGAAAUUUGCAAAGUAUUUGUGUGUAUUAUAUAAUUGUGUUAAUUUAAGGAUUAUUUUUUAGUUGUAUCAAUUUAGAAAAUAUUUUUUUUUCUUGUGCCAUCUCCCUUUCCCUUCUUUACAUGGCUUACUCGAUGAAAAAAGCAAACACCCCAUUUUGAUUUUCAAUCUGUAUGAGUGAGAAAGAAAGAGAGGACAAGGGGGUCCUCUCUCUUUCCUUGCUUUUUUCAACGCUUGAGAAAUUUCCUUGUUUAUUUUCCUGUACGUGUUCCCUUUUACCUUUUAUAAUUAUGAUUAUUGCAUUGCUAAUAAUCUGCAACAAAGAUGAUGAAUAUUUUUUUUAGUGAAUUCAAAAUAACAAAAAAUAAGGUUUGUUGAGGCUUUUCUUGGAACCUCGUUCUGGGAUUAAUUAGUGAGAAUAAGAAAAUCCUGGGCAAAUUAUACAAAAUUUAUUAUUAAUAAUCAAUAUUUAUUCUUCAUCAUCAAUAUUGAAUAAUGGCUUAUUUUCUAGUAUAAAAAUAAAUAAAUUGAGGUUUUUCAAUUACCUUUAAACAUAUCAUAGUUUUGGACGGUACAUCUUUUGAAUUUAUUAAAAAAAAACAUGUAAUGUAAAUUAUAAAAAAUAUUUUUUUUUUCUGAUAUACAUAGUAAUAAUAAAUUAGAUGAUAAUAACUAGAAAAUAGGAAUUAGUUUGAUAAGUUGAACUCCACGAUCAGUGGAGAUAUCAAGUUUUUUAUAUAUAUAAUAUUAUAGUUAUAUUGAUGAAGUGAGACGAGUUUAAAUUUUAUAAUUUUUACACUUAUACUAUACUAUAGGAAUGUGGUUAUGUGGAAAAAAAAAAAAAAGAUUUAGUGAUAACUGCUUAGCCCAAGAGUCUUUCAUGGUUGCCACAGGUUAAUUAUUUAAUCUCAUGCUCAUUGCCUGCAGCUAAGCUUCGGCAGUCACCAAGUUGCUAUUAAGGUAAGUUCUCCACCUGCGUGUUCUUCCUUUUCAAGCUAAGCGUAGACAUCUUUGGCUACAUUUACUUAUAAUUUAGUUCAAGUCAAUAAAAACUUAGCAGUAAUUUGAUACAAAAAAUUCAUGGUCAUUAAAUUGUCGACGAGCAUGUAAGCUAACCUGAACACGCGUGUUAAUUAAAAAAAUAAAAAAGACAACAUUAUCAUUCAAAAGUUAGUAAUACAAUAACCUUUACUUAUUUUUCAAGUUUCAUAGAAUAGUAGUGGAAUAAAUUUUUUGUAAUUGGUAAAAUACGUCAUGCUAAAGCUAACAAAUAAUUAAUAACACAAGAAAGAACGGAAGUUAACUACAAUAAAUAUUUUUUUGAAAAACGGAGCCACAAUACGAGGAAAUCUCUUCACUUAUCAAUGAAAUAUUACUUCUCCUGUAAAUGAAUAGAAAUAAUUUAAUUGAUUACUUGGAAGAAGAAAGCGUAUCCCUUCUCACUAAUAAAAGUAGUUUGAAGUAUCAUUAAACCGGACAAAAAUAAACAACCGAUAAUAAUAUAGUUAAGAUGAAAAAAAAUUGUUUAAAAAACAAUUUGAACCAAUUAAUCUUAAAAAAACCAAAAAGAAACAUGCCAUGAAAAAAAGUAUUGUUUAAAGGAACGCAAAAAUGCAUUCCAAGUAUGAAGUGUUUUAUUGCUAUAAAGUUUUUCAAACUUACAAUAUAUAGAGAGAGAGAGAAAUAAAAAGAAAAAAGAGCAAAAGGAAACAGCCCCCGUCUUUCAUGUUCCCUUUCCCUUCUUUACACGGCCUACUCCAUGAAAAAGCAAACACGGCUUAAAGAUAAAAUAGCUUUGAUUUACAACCACGGCUUGAAGGGCCUGGAAUAUAGGACCAGGAAAAAUUCAUGUAUCUAUUACUAGACACAAUUAAUUGUACAUUGCUAUAAUAAAAUUACGUAUUUAUUUUUAAGUGGGAAAAAAUUAAGCCAUGAGGCCAGGGGUUCUUUGUCUUUACCUAUUUUUGUUUUGGCCACCGAAUUUAUUUUUUUUCAAUAAAAGAGAAUGUUUUGUGUAACUAUUAGAUAAUUGAAAUCAUCGCUAAUCUCCUUUGUUCAUUUUCCUUUUUUCAUUACCCCCUUCCGCUUGGCAUGUGCGAAGCUUUAUAUCGAAGAGCUUGUUUGGCAGUGUGGUAGCGAUUGCUUUUCAAAUAGCUUUUUGUGCUAAAAUACAUGUCAAUGAUGUUUUUUCAUUUUUUAAAAAUUAUUUUUGACAUCAGAACAUCAAAACGAUCUAAAAAAUAUAAACCGAAUUCAAUUUUAACAAAAAAAAAAAACAAUUCAAAUUUACACCAAACACAGGUGCAAACGCAGAGACAAACGGUCUCUCAUGAUACCGAUGUUUUCAACGCACUCAAAUCCAUUGUUAGACGCUAAAAGGCAAUAGUAAGAAAGUAAGUCCUUUAAUUUUGGUAGUGGUAGAGACGGCUGGGAGAGGGAGACGAAGGAGAGGUCAGGGAAAGGAGGAAGAUGGGAACGGAGGCCAAGGGGUCUUCUGUUUGUGGAGGUCUGGAAAUGUAAAUGGAAACGGCUUUGGCUCUCUGGUUCUGUUUUUUGGCAAGGAAAUGGGGGGCGGCGGCUGGCUUAGAGAAGAUAAAAGAUUGGGUUUUUUUAGAGUUUCUUUGGGUUUCCUCAAUUUUCUAUCUAAAACUGCCUCAUUACUCUUUUUUUAUGCGUUGUGAGAACCUUUAUUUAUAAGUAAAAUAUUGUUAGGUUCUUCCUCAACUUUUUUUUUUCUUUUUAUAAAUUUUGAAUUUUUUUUUGUAUUUUGAAUUUUUUUAGAAAAAAAAAGCAAUAUCAAUAUUGACUUCAUAAAAAAUAUUAAUGAUUUUAAAAAUAAUAUCGAACAGGUUCAAAAAACCUUUAAAAAUUUAAAUUCUUUUAAUAUAACACUAAAAAUACUAAAAACAAUACAAAUAUAUCAAGAAUAUAUUUUGUUGGGUUUUCAUUAUUUUUUGUUAGUUUUGGAUUUUUUAGAAAAAUUAUAAAAAAGAUAGGUCCAAAAUUGGAUAACAACACUGGGUCUGUUUUAUUGAAAACUCGGGCCUGCAGUUGACCCAGAGAAAACCGGUCAACCCACCGAGUAGUCUGGAACUCGGAUGACCUAACAAAACUUGAUAGAAAUCCAUUUUUUUUUUUAAUGUGUUUUUCCUUCUAGUUAGAGAUUUCUAUUUUUUUUUUUUAAUGUGUUUUUUCUUCUAGUUAGAGCCCUUUAUUUGAUUUGAAAAUAUUAUUUGAUUAGUCCACUUAUAGGUUGACUCUAUUAUUCCUGCCUUGCAUUGCCAGGAAAUUUCUAGUAAUUUAAAUAGGAAAUUUCCUGGUGAUAAACUUGGAAUAUAAUUUUCAACUUUCGUAGGCUAGCACUAAAGUCCCAAACUUCAAGAAUUUCUCUUCUUUUCUCAUUUUCUUGGCAUGCGCGCAGCUGCCUCGAGGAAAAAACGUUUCAGAUGCGGAAAAUAAAUAUAAAAGUGGAAAACAAAUCCCAAAUAUCGACAAACAUGACAAGAGAAGCUUGAUAUCUCUUCGUCCCUUGGUAUCGUGUGAAUGUGGAUAUUAUUUCAGAAUAUCAAUUCAACCGUACUCCAAAGAACACUCAUACUCCAAUAUCAGCAACCACCACGAAAAUUACCAGCUCAGUAAAUUUAUUCUUUGACAAUUAUUACUUCUAAAAAAAAUGAAUUUUUUUUUUAAUUAUACGGCAUCAGCAACUACCUCAAAAUUACCACUCCAAAUUCCAGCUCAAUAUCGAUCAACAUGUGGCUAAAGAAUUUGAUUGCUGCUCAAUAUUUACCGAUACGUGCUUAAGAAAUUUCCUUGCUUUUUUUUCCUGGCAGAAAUUUGAAAAAAAAGAAGAUAAAAAAGAAAUAUGCUUUAGUUGUUCGCUUUUAUUCACCUAUAUUGGCGCUAUAAAGUUUUUUUGAUUGAGGUUUGGUUAAUAAACUCUUAUUUCAUCUUUACUGGCGCUAUAAAGCUGAUAUUGCUGUUGAUAGCUUUUCCUGGGUUGAUCUCUAUCAUUCUGGGUAAAAGUUGAUUUUCACGCAGUUAUAGCUCGUUAUGGCUGUUUGAUUGGAAUUGAUAAUGCUAAAAGCACUUUUACAGAUUUGACAGCGGCAAGGGAAGGGUGUUAGACUAUGUUUGAUAGUGUUGUAACAGUUGUUUUUUAAAUAACUUUUUAUAUUAAAAUGGAUAUCAAUGAUAUUUUUUUUAUUUUUUAAAAAUUAUUUUUUAUAUUAUUAUAUCAAAACGAUCCAAAACAUAUGAACCGUAUUAAAUUUUAUCAAAAAAAAAUUUUGAAUUUUAUAAGAAUAUAGUUCAAUCACAUUCCCAAACGGUUCCUUAAUAAGCAGAACUCGGAAGGAGAUUAUUUUCGACGAGAAUAGUAUUGACCAUGUUGUUUCAUUGUCAGGGAAAGCACUUAUUUCUUUAAUGUAUGUUUCCGGAGAUUAUUGCGGUGGGAUAUGUUUUGGCAGCUAAUGCAAUUCACAAUGACCUUGGUCCUUGAGAUCUUUACCUAUUUUGGUUUGCAUUGCUAAUAAUUUGCAACAAAAAUGAUGAACAGUUUUUAGUGAAUUAAGUUUAAUAAUAGAAAAUCCUGUGCAAAUUAUACAAAAUCCUGCUUUAAGUUCUUGGAACCUCGCUCUGGGAUUAAUUAACGAGAAUAAGAAAAUUUUGUGCAAAUUAUAUAAAAUUUAUUAUUAAUCAUCGAUAUAAUAUUUAUUAUAGGUCAUCAAUAUUGAAUAAUGAUUUAUUUUCUAGCAUAAACUUUGUUUGAGAUAAAAUUGAUAAAAGACAUGAUUACACAAUUAUUGAUGGGAUUGUAUAUAAAAAUAAUUAAAUUGAGAUUUUUUUAAUUAUUUUUAAACAUGUCAUGGUUUUAGGUACAUCAUGUAAAUUAUAAAAAAAAAAUAUUUAUUUUUCUGAUAUAUAUAGUAAUAACAAAUGGUUAGAAUGCUUUCGUCCUUUUCGAGUGGAAAGUGGUGUGAAAGUGGGAACUACUGUGAUAGCUUUAUGCCACUUUCUAUCAUUAGAUGUAAUGGCUUUGGCAAAAAGAAACAAAUAAAAGUUAGUGUUGGCAUCGAUUUAAUAAAUUGUUACAAUAAUAGCACUAGGUGAAGAAUGGUGAACCUGUCGCGCUGGAUCGCUUUAAUAAAAAUGUUUUCGGACCGCAAAAAGACAUUCCCUUUCUUGUCAUAAAGUUUUGAAGAGCUAUCAAAAAAUACUUUUCGUGUAUUAUUGUCAUUAAAUUUUUCAGACUUUCAAUAUAGAGAGAGAAAUAAAAAUAAAAAGAGCUAAAGGAAACAACCCCCAUUGAAAAUCAAACGGGAAACGCCAUUACUCCAUUACUCCUAGAUUCAUGUUGUAGUUUGCUUUUUAAAGGGAAAGGGAAUGUUUUUAGCUAAAGGAAACGCCCCAUUUGAUUUUCAAUCAGUAUGAGUGAGAAAGAGAGGACAAACGGGUCCUCUCUCUCUUUCCCUUUUGGCUACAUUUACUUAGUCCUGUUAUUUAUAAAGCUUAUAACUUAGUUCAAGUCAAUAAAAGCUUAGCAGUUUGAUACAAAAGCUCAUGGCCAAAUUAGAGAUAUUUGUUUUGGAUGUAAUAAAUAUUCAUAUUGUCACAUAAUAUUCAUCUUUCAAAUCCAUAAUUUAAUUGAUCAUAUAAAUAAAUUUUUUUUAAAAAAAAAAAGCAAAAAGGAAACAUCUUUCUUGUUCCCUUUCCCUUCUUUACACGGCCUAGUACUCAAUGAAAAAGCAAACACCCCAUUUGAUUUUCAAUCAGUAUGAGAGUGAAAAUGAGAGAGAGGUACAAGUUUGUUUCUAUCUAAGAAAGCAAGAAGCUCCCACUAAUGCAUGUUCUCCACAAACUACCCCCAAAUCCGUCACUACAGCUCAAGUAGCUUUGAGUCAUUAAUUCCAACAAAUAGGAAUUGAAUUCAAAGGAAUAAAUCAUUAAAUGCGGAGUUGGUGUUCUCGUGUUUGUGGUGCUGAUAAAUGUAAGAACAGACAAAGAGAUGAAAUAGGAAAAAUCCAUGUAUCUAUCCUUUAUCCUGCUGUUAAUUUUUUAAAGACGCGUAUCAGGUGUUUGAUAAAAUUCCUCAACUUAAAAAAAAUAAAUAAAUAAAAAACCAUGUUUAGAAUGCUUGAGUCCUUUACGAGUGGAAAGUGGGAACUAUCCACUUUCCCAUUCUCCACUGAGCGUGAAAGAGGGAACUACUGUGAGAGCUUUAUGCCACUUUCUAUCUUAGAUGUAAUGGCUUCGGCAAAAAGAAACAAAUAAAAGUUAGUGUUGGCACUGCUUUAGCCCAAGAGUCUUUCAUGGUUGCCUUGAAUUGAUUGACAGGAAGAAGUCUGAAUGUGUUAAGAAAGAAGCAGCCUUCAAGCUUUUCAAAACCAAUCUCUGUAUCUAUUAACAAAAACUCUAAAUCGCGAGUACUAGACACAAUUAAUUAUGUUUUUUGUAAUUAUUAGAUAAUUGAAAUCAUCACUAACUCCUUUGUUCAUUUUCAUCUUUUUUUAUUACCCUUAGCAUGAUACACAGAAAAGAAGAAGGGUUCAAGAGAGAACAAUAAUGGAGGGGAAUUAAAAUCUUUGUUUGAUUUUAUGCUGUGUUUUUGGUACAUUGAUCAACAAUAGCUUGGAAGAGCUUGAUAGCAAUAACCUUUUCGACGUCAAUAAUUAAUGUUAACGCGUGGAUCCAGUUGUCGUGGAAACUUUGCAAAGGAUCUGCAGGAAGAAAAAUGAAAUUUGCUAAUGCAGGGGUAUAGUGGAUCUUUCUCAUGAGAUCACAAUAAUUUAAUGAAAAAUAAAUAAAAUAAAUUAUAAAAUUUAAUUUUUAAUCAAAUUUAUAUUAAAAAAUAAAAUUAAAAGAAAAAAAAACUAAUUAAAAAAACAAAAUCUAAAUCAACUGAAUUAACUUGUUAAAUCUAAGAUCCGUAUCAUAUCAUGAGAGUGUAAUAACUAAAUAUAAAAAAAAAUUAAUAUUAAUGAAUUAAAUUGAACAAAUAAAAUUAAUUAUAAAAAAAAUAAAUAAAGAAAAAAGCAAAAAUAAAAACACUAUAACCGAAGAAGAUCAGUUUUAGUUAUCAAUCGAAUUUUAGCAAAAUCUAGGAUCCAAGAAUUGGCCUCUGUAACAUAGUAUGUAUUCUGAGCCAAUCUAGGCUAGGAUUUGAAACAAAUGUUGUAUACUGUUUGCACUGUCACUUUGCUUACCCUCUUAGGUUUUUAUUGAGAUUAGGGAUUCUAUUGUAGCUCUUUUUUCUCCUUUUAUUAUAAUAAAAUAAUAUUUAUGGAUUAAUUUUGGUAUAAUUUAAAAAAGUAAGUCCUUUAAUCAAAUUUUAGAUUGACCAUCCACAAUGUGUUAAAAGUAAAUGUUAAUUUAUAAAAUAAUAUCCUUACUGCGCUAUAAAGCUGAUAUUGCUGUUGAUAGCUUUUGCUGGGUUGAUCUCUUUGGUUUAUCUCUAUCAUUCUGGGCAAAAGAUGAUUUUCACGCAGUUAUAGCUCGUUAUGGCUGUUUGAUGGGAAUUGAUAAUGCUAAAAGCACUUUUACAUAUUUGACAGCAGCAAGGGAAGGGUGUUAAUCUGCAGAACUCGGAAGGAGAAUAGUAUAUAUUGACCAUGUUGUUUCAUUGUCAGGGAAAGCACUUAUUUCUUUAAUGUAUGUUUCCGGAGAUAAUUGCGGUGGGAUAUGUUUUGGCAGCUAAUGCAAUUCACAAUGACCUUGGUCCUUGAGAUCUUUACCUAUUUUGGUUUUGGUCACCAAACUUCAUUUGUUUUCAAUUACAUCCUUGCAAGUUCUAUUAACAGGGUUCUAUUUGUUGUUAUCCACUUCGAUUUUCAUGUUCUUGCAUAUAUCUUUAAAUAUUCCUACAUUCAAUUAGAAAUCAAUUUUUUUUAACCCAAUUGCUAUUAAGGUAAGUUCUCCACCUGCAUGUUCUUCCUUUUCAAGCUAAGCGUAGGCAUCUUUAGCUACACUUACUUAGUCCCUGUUAUUUAUAAAGCUUAUAAUUUAGUUCAAGUCAAUAAAAACUUAGCAGUUUGAUACAAAAGCUCAUGUCCAAGUAAGAGAUGUUUAUUUUAGAUGUAAUAAAUAUUCAUAUUGGAACAUAAUAUUCAACUCUCAAAUCCCUCAUCCAGUUCAUCAUAUAAAUAAUUGUUUUAAUUAAUAACUAUAAGAAAUAAAAAUAAAACCCAUUGCUAGUUGAUUACUUGAAUAAAAACUCAAGAUUGCCGAGCAAAGCAAAUAAAUUACUUAAUCAGGGUUACUGGAGGAGUUAUUUGCCAGGAAAUUUUAAAAUACAGUUAAAAUUGUGUUUUUAAAAAUAUUUUUAGAUCAUUGUGAUAUAUUGAUAUUAAAAAUAAAUUUUAAUAUAUUUUUAAUUAAAAAAUAUUUUUUAAAACAAUUUUCACCACACUAUCAAACAUGUUAAAUUUUUUUCAAAUAUAUGGAUUGAUGUUGACUCUCUAGUUAUUUUUUAUAAUAAAUUUUGAAUCCAAACAAGUGAAUUUAAAUGCAUGCUUGAUUUUCUCUUUAAUUUAAUUAACAAUAAUUUCUCAUUUUCAAUAAAUAUUUGAGUUUAUUAAUUAUUCGAGUAAGACGAACUCUGUAUUUUAAAAUACUAUUUUUAAAAGAUUUUCUUUUUAUGGAUCAAGACAACAGUAUCAUUCAAAUGUUAUGAAUAUAAUAACUUUUACAUAUUUUUCAAGUUUAGUACUAGAAUAGUAGUGUAAUAAUUCUUUUAAUAUUUAAAAAUUAAAAAAAUACUGUGUAGCUGUUUUGUAUAAAUUGUAAAGUAAAAGCACAGAGAAGACAGAACAAUAAUGAAGGACCUCAAUAAUGUUAACGUGUGGGACCCAGUUGUUGCAUCCACCACGAAUGUUCCAUCUCAAUAUUUACCAGUACUACACGCUUGAGAAAUUUCCUUGCUUUUUGUACCUGAACCGCUCUACGUGUAACCUUUUACCUUUUAUAAUUAUGAUUACCAGCAAAGUUUGCGGUGCGCAUGGAUGGUCCAUUCCACCCGUACACAUUAAAGAAUAUAGGUCCAUGUGAUCGUAGGGAAAUCAUAUUCAUUUAAAGAAAAUUGCUAAUAAUUUGCAAGAAAGAUGAUGAACAUUUUUUAGUGAAUUAAGUUCAAUUAUACAAAAUUCUGCUUUAAGUUCUUGGAAUCUCGCUCUGGAUUAAUAAGCGAGAAUAAAAGAAUUCUGUACAAAUUAUAUAAAAUUUAUUAUUAAUCAUCGAUACUUAUUAUAGGUCAUCAAUAUUGAAUAAUGAUUUAUUUUCUAGCAUAAAUUAUGUUUGAAAUAAAAUUGAUAAAAGACAUGAUUACACAAUUAUUGAUGGAAUAGUAUAUAAACAUAAUUAAAUUGAGAUUUUUAAUUAUUUGUAAACAUAUCAUGGUUUUAGGUACAUCAUGAAAUUAUAUAAAAAAUAUAUUUAUUUUUCAUAUAUAUAUAGUAAUAACAAAUGGUUAGAAUGCUUUAGUCCUUUUCGAGUGGAAAGUGGUGUGAAAGCGGGAACUACAGUGAGGGCUUUAUGCUACUUUCUAUCUUAGACGUAAUGGCUUUGGCAAAAAAAAAACAAAAAAAAGUUAGUGGUGGCACUGCUUUAUGCCACUUUCUACUUGCAUUGACUGACUUGUUAAAUAUUUGCUACUUGAAAUGAAAUUUUCAAGUAAUUUAUGGAGGAAAUUUCCUUGUACUCUCUCCUGUACAUUAUUAGAAAAAUUGUUAUUGACUAAUUGAUUUGUAAAAGUAUUUCCAAGAAAGCUAAAGAAUUAGAGUUUUUAAAAUUUUUAAAUUAUUAAAAACCUCCAAUUUUUAUUUUUUUUUUAAAUCAAGAAUAAAACACCAACUAUUUAUAUAAUUGCUAAAUAAAUCUAAUAAAAUAAAUUGGAAAUAAAUAGUAAAUAAUCCAAAAAUAAUUAGAAAAUAAAUAUAUUUCCACAAUAUGAUAUGAGUAUGUUUUCUAUCUUGAUCGACUGACUUGCUAAGUAUUUGUUAAGCAUAAAUGAACUUUACUCUAAAAAUCUGUUUAAUAUUUUUCUUACUUUUAUUAUUUUACUUCAAAGUUUCAAUUUCAUAUUUUUUUACAAUGUAUAUGUUAUUUAAUUAGUCUAAUCAUAGAACAUGUUAAGAAUUGACUUGAAAUUAACACUUGAAAUUCUGGACUGGAAACUGGCUUAAAUGCUAGCCACCAACCCUUUUUUGCUCAAUCCAUGGUAGAAAAUGUGAUUUCUUAUUCAAGAUCGUGGACAACACACUCAAGAUUAUGGGAAGGUGUUUUUUGUUUACUAGGAGGAUCAAUUCGUAGCUAUGAUUGGGUCGAAAAGAGGGAAAAAAGUGGCAGCAUUCCAUAUACGUUUAAGGAAACCCAAAUUUCUACAGAUUUUAGGGACAAAACAACGUCAUUUUUGUUUUUCUUUCAAUAUCAAAAUUUUUUCUUCCCUUUUUCCAGGCAAAACGCACCAUUUUAAUCGGUGUAAAAAGGCGUCGUUUUGCUUUCGGUUUUCUUCUUAUGGAAUAAUGCUAAACGCCCAUGUGGAACUAUAUAAAUGCAACAUUUUAGCAUUUUUUGUACUUCGAUCCCUAGACUUUUAAUUCUUUUAUUUAAAUAUAUUAUUUGAUUAGUCCAUUUAUAGGUUGACUCUACUAUUCCUGCCUUGACAGUAAAUUUCACUAGAAAUUUCAAGUAAUUUACACAGGAAAUUUCCUGGUGAUAAACCUGGAAUCUGAUUUUCAACUUUCGUAGGCGAGCACUAAAGUCCCAAACUUCAAGAAUUUCUCUUCUUUUCUCAUUUUCUUGGCAUGCGCGCAGCUGCCUCGAGGAAAAAACGUUUUAGAUGCGGAAAAUAAAGGUAAAAGUGGAAAAUAGAAGCGGGAAAAUAAAUCCCAAAUAUCGACAAACAUGACAAAAGAAGCUUGAUAUCUCUUCGUCCCUUGGUAUCGUGUGAAUGUGGAUAUUAUUUCAGAAUAUCAAUUCAACCGUACUCCAAAGAACACUCAUACUUCAAUAUCAGCAGCCACCACGAAAGUUACCACUCUAAAUUCCAGCUCAGUAAUUUAUUCUUUGACAAUUAUUACUUUUUAAAAAAUGAUUUUUUAUUAAUUAUAUGCCAUCAACAACUACCUCAAAAUUACCACUCCAAAUUCCAGCUCAAUAUCGAUCAACACGUGGCUAAAGAAAUUUUUUUUAAUCUCUUAUAGGAAUCUCUUUACUAAAUCAUCAAAAUAUCAUAUUAUAUUUCCAAAUACUAUUACUACAGUUUAUAUAUAUAUAUAGAAACAACUAAGUAGAGAAAUUAUCUUUUAUUUUCUUGUUCUUUAGCUUCCGUUUCGGUUUUGGCUUCUGAUUCUUUGGCUUUAGGUACAACCUAAGUAGGUAAAGCUUCUGUUUCUUUGUUCUUGUUCCUUUAUAUAUAUACAUUCUCAAUUUCAUAAAAAAAAAUUAAUUAGUCCUUUAAAUCUUAAAAAAUAGUAUUUAAUCCUUAUGUUAUUAUAUUCAUUUCUAAUUGAAUUUUUUUCGUCCAUUCAUCUUUUUAUUUAUUUAAUAGCUUAAGUAAUUUUUAGAUUAAAGCUAAAUAAUUUUACUAUUAAAGGCAUUUUUUUUAAAUAAAAUAAUAUUAAAUUAAGCAUGCUCAACAUUGUUCAAAUUAUUAAUUAAUUAUAAUUAACUUGAGGUUUAGAAGAAACAAAAAGGAAGGAUAAAAUUAUCUUCCCCACAACCGUAGACCUAACCCCUUUCCAGACCAGUCCCCUAGUAAAUAGAAUGAUGGUCCCAUAAAUAGUUUUUUUUUUCUUUCCAGCCCGCCAAGCAGUUUGGUCUCCCUCACUGGAGAACCUUAGCACGAGAAUAACACUAUAAUUUAAAAGUAGUUUGAAGUAUCAUUAAACCUGAUACAAAUGAAUAACUGAUAAUAAUAUAAUUGGGAUUUAAAAAAAAUCAUAAAAAAAUCACUUAAAAAAACCAAAAAUUAAACAACCGAUAAUAAUAUAAUUAAAAUAAUAAAAAAUUGUUUAAAAAACAAUUUGAAACAGUUUAAUCUUAAAAAAAAAAACAAAAAGUAACAUGCGAUGAAAACCAAUUCAUGAAAAAGUAAUUGGAUAUUAAUUUAGACUAAAAGGAUGAAAUAAUAAAAACAAAAAGAGAGUUUGAGGGUAUUCAUUUUAUUGUUCAAAGGAACGCAAAAAUGCAUUCCAAGUAUGAAGUGUUUUAUUGUUAUAAAGUUUUUCAAACGUACAAUAUAUAAAUAUAUAAAGAGAGAAAAAAAAAAGAAAAAAGAGAGCAAAAGGAAACAGCCCCCAUCUUUCUUGUUCCCUUUCCCUUCUUUACACGGCCUGCUCCAUGAAAAAGCAGGAAGAAGUCUGAAUAUUUUUAGAAAGAAACAGUCUUCAUUGCUUUUCAAAACUUUGUUACUUCGACUUCAGUAAUGUUAACGCGUGGACCCAGUUGUUGUGGAAACUUUGCAAAGGAUCUCGAGGAAGAAAAAUGAUUGCAUUGCUAAUAAUUUGCAAGAGAGAAUUCUUUCACUGAAUAGAAAAAAAUAUUAUUUUUAAAAUAAUAACAAGUAAAUUUAAAAAUUAGUAUUUUUUAAAUAAAAAAAACUAGAAAUUCCUGAUAAUAUUGAAUCAAAAAUAAAAUAUAAAAAAAACUCUUUUCAAGUAGAAAAAAAUAUAAAAGUUUAAUAAUACUGAAUAGAAAUAAAUAAAAUUUCUAAACUAAAUAAAAAUAUUUUCUAUCCCAAAAAUUCUUAUAUCAAAAACUCAUUUAUCAUAUUUUAUAUCUAUAAAAAACUAAUUUGUCAUAUGUACUGGUCCAUAUUCUAAAACCAAAAAAAAAAGUAACAAAAAAAAUAUAAUGAUGGGAUGGUAUAUAAAAAUGAUUAAAUUGAGAUUUUUCAAUUACCUUUAAACAUAUCAUGAUUUUACAAUACUGUUAAAUGAUAUAUUUAUUUUAUUUUAUUUAUUAAGACUAAAAUAGUAUUUUCAACUUAACCUAUAUAUAAAUUUUUUAUAAUUAAGUUAAAGCAAGAAUAAAAAUGCAAAUCAAUUAAGGAGAACUCGAGCCUCAUUCCUUUUCGUAUUCAUAUUUAUUUUUAUGUUAAUUAAUUGUUUUAACAGAUACAUCAUGUAAAUUAUAUAAAAAAAAAUUAUUUUUCUGAUAUGUAUAUAGUAAUAACAAAUUAAAUGAUAGUAACAACAAAAUAGAAAUUAGUUUGAAUAAAUGGUAGCAGUUUCUAUAUAUCAUGAUAUAUAUCUAGGAAGAAGUUUGAAGAAUAGAAUAAAGUAAAAUAUUCUUAAUAAUAAAAAAAAAGAGAACACAGAAAGAAAUAAAAUAUGUUUGUAAUAAAUAUAAAAGAUGGAUGAAAAUAUUAGAGAAUAGGAAAGAGAUAUUAGAAUUACAUAAUGCUAGGUUUUGUAUAACUCUUUUGGAUGAAUGGUUAAUGUAGGGACUGUUUGGGGUCUGACAUGACUGAUUUUAGUUGAAUAUAUUAUUUGAUUAGUAUUGACUCUACUAUUGUUAAUGCAUGGACUUGAAAUUUCAGUAUUCAAUAUCCUUGUUUUACUCUGCAGCUCACCUCUCUGUCCCAUUGCUGCCAUUUCAUCGCUAACUCUUUGUUAUAUUUAACUUCUUCUUUGCUUCUUGCUUAUAACGAUAACUUGAAAGCCUCGCGAAAGAGAAGAAAAGCUCUUCUUUGUUAUCAUUGACCAGUUCAUCCUAUAUCAUUCUAUUUAAUUUAGAAAUGCAGAAAGAAAAACGCAAGCAAUCCAAAGAUGAAGAAAACGAUUCAUCCUCGCGAAAGAGAAGAAAAGCUGACCUCA
RNAcentral lists this long non-coding RNA (76678 nucleotides) under Populus tremula. Its description in RNAcentral is "long non-coding RNA (PTRE_LNC001720)". The record is from RNAcentral. Lineage: Eukaryota; Viridiplantae; Streptophyta; Magnoliopsida; Malpighiales; Salicaceae.